CGCCCGCAACCUCACGAAACUUUGCGCGGGCGCGCGACGGCGGCACGGCGCGCGAGACGUACGCACGCAAAGUGCGCGCGCGCGGGAGUUUGAACCCUGAGCGCGACCGGUGGUUUUUUGUCGCGUACACCGGCGUCACGGGGACAGGGACGUGACUAGCUCCAGGCAGCGCGCGCGUCCGCGUCCGCGUCGUCGUCGUCGAUCGAUCGAGCUAGCGACCGGCGGCGCGCGGCCAGCGACGACGCGCGCGCGCACGCACGGUGUGAAAGGCCGGCUUGACCCUAUCUGAGCCUUUACGACCGGUGCGGGCGGAUUUGCUUCCGUCCCCGAAACUCGUUUGGUGCGCGGCUAGCUUUCCCGGAGGAGAAAAAACGGUUACGCGCGUUCACUUGACUAUGGCAAAGUGAUCAGAUAUCGGGAUAUGCAAAGCAAAGCGACGUAGUUUCAUUCUUUGCUGAGAUCGGAGGGAAAAGUGGCAAGAGAUGACCUGAACCGGGCAAAGAACGUGUGCUUGUGAGAUUUAUUAGUGCCUUGGCAGGACAGAAUUAUGGUGUUCCUUUCCUUUAUCCGGGCUAUAGGCUACGUGAACGUGAUCCACGCUUCCCGAGCAGAGAGCAGCUCGAGAUUCACGUCCCGACAGAUUAGAAUGGUUACAAAAAAAACUCAGCUGUUGACCCAAGGCUGGGUUUUGCACGUCAUUUGGGUCCUCAAAGUCACGGCACAAUCAUUUUCAGACCCCCUGGCCCGUCACUCGGGCUAGCUAAGCUAGCCGCGCACGUGUAAAAGUAGCUUUCACUGGUGGAGAAACCAUCUUUCGUCGGUCGGCCGAUUUCCACAAUAGUGCCGGAUGCAAUAAAAACCGGGGCUAAAGAUGAUCUUUAGUCCCGGUUCAAAAGGGUAACGGGCAUAUUUGAUCUUUAGUCCCGGUUUGUGCUACCAACCGGGACUAAAGUUAAAGCACCAACCGGGACUACUAAAGUUAAGAUCUUUAGCCCCGGUUGGUGCUACCAACCGGGACUAAAGAUCUUAACUUUAGUCCCGGUUGGUAAUACCAACCGGGACUAAUGAUCCCGGUGAUCUUUAGCCCCGGUUGGUGCUACCAACCGGGACUAAAGUCCCACCCCUAUAUAUAUGUCUUCUUCCUCCUCCAGCUGCCCGAGCGAGCUUCAAAAUUUCUUCAAAAAAGAGGGGAGGUCAUGCCAAAAUUUCUAUUGAAUUUAUUUUGGUGAUUACAUACAAAUCGGAGGUGCCUAAAAGGUUUGCAACUUCAUCCUCCAAUGUUUUUUUUGUCAUACUACAUUUGCACCUAUGUUUUGCACACUUUUUUUUGUCUCCAAAAUUUAGUUGUAAGUUGAUGAGAGAGAAAAUGUGUGUGGGGAAGAAAGAAUAUAUAGAAAUUUAGUUCAUUUGCUAAACAAGGUUUUAUAAAAUAGUUGAGAAGGAAAACUCUAGUGAAAGUUAAUCUUAAAUAAUAGAAAACAAACUAAAAUGAAAAUUAAAAGAAGUAAAACACAUUAAAAUUAGUUUAAAACUUUACAAAUAGUUUUUAAGAAUUAUUUGGUGUAAUAUUUUAUGAUUUUUGUAUGAAUAAAGAUAUCUUAUAAUUAUUGUAUGACUGUCAUUAUUGUAAGAAUAAUUAUUUGUGUGCGGUUUUUUUGACUCAUGUAGAUGGAUCGGCAAUGGAUGUACGCUGACCGGCGGUCCAAAGAGUUUAUUGACGGCGUGCACUAUUUUUUGAGAGUGGCCGAAGCUAACAGGCAAAGGGGUUUUAUUUGUUGUCCAUGCAAUAAGUGUAAGAAUCAGAAGGAGUAUUCUGCAUCCAGGACUAUUCAUUUCCACUUGUUUGAGUCGGGGUUCAUGCCAAGCUAUAAUUGUUAGACAUCCCACGGAGAGCAAGGUGUUGAAAUGGAAGAAGAUGAAGUGGAAGACGACAAUAUUCCGGACUUUGCUCAGUAUGUUGGAUUUGAAGGAAAUCAAACGGGCGAGGAGGAAAUAGCUGCUGAUGGUAACGAUGUUGCGGAUGAUCUUGGUCAGAUGUUGCAGGACGCCAGGGAAGACUGCGAAAGUGAAAAGGAGGCCCAUAAAUUGGACAAGAUGUUGGAGGACCACAGAACUUCGUUGUACCCAGGUUGCGAGCUGGGGCACAAAAAGUUGGAUACCACUCUGGAGUUGUUGCAAUGGAAGGCAAAAAAUGGGGUUAGUGACAAGGCAUUUGGCGAUUUAUUGAAACUCGUCAAGAACAUUCUUCCGGGGGGAAACAAAUUGCCCGAGACAACGUACGAGGCUAAGAAGAUAGUUUGCCCGUUAGGACUGGAAGUUCAUAAGAUUCACGCAUGUCCGAACGAUUGUAUCCUAUAUCGCGGUGAGGAGUAUGAGAACCUAGAAGCAUGCCCUGUUUGCAAAGCACUACGAUACAAGAUUAGACGGGACGAUCCAGGAGAAGUUGACGGGCAGCUAACAAAGAAGAGAAUUCCUGCUAAGGUGAUGUGGUAUUUCCCUAUAAUACCACGGCUAAGGCGUUUGUUCAGGAACAAGGGGAAUGCUAGAAUGUUGCGAUGGCACGCUGAAGAGCGUCAACAGGACGGGAUGCUGAGACACCCCGCCGAUGGUUCGCAGUGGCGAAACAUCGACAGAAAAUUUAAAGAAUUUGGAAAGGACGCACGAAACAUACGGUUUGGUUUGAGUACGGAUGGCAUGAAUCCUUUUGGAGAGAUGAGCAGCGGCCAUAGCACUUGGCCCGUUACGAUGUGUAUCUACAACCUCCCCCCUGGCUAUGCAUGAAGAGGAAGUACAUAAUGAUGCCGAUUAUUAUUCAAGGCCCCAAGCAACCUGGUAACGACAUCGACGUGUACCUAAGACCACUAGUCGAAGAUCUUAAACAGUUGUGGAAGAAGGAAGGUGUCCCCGUGUGGGACGAGGACAAACAGGAGGAGUUUAACCUACGAGCGCUGCUGUUCGUAACCAUCAACGAUUGGCCUGCACUUAGCAACCUAUCCGGACAGUCCAACAAGGGGUACAAGGCUUGCACUCACUGUAUGGAUGAAACAGAAAGUACGUAUCUUAAGCACUGUAGGAAGGUUGUAUACAUGGGUCAUCGUCGAUUCCUUGCAGCAAACCACCCGGUACGGAAGAAAGGCAAGCACUUCGAACAUAAGGCCGACCACCGUACGAAGCCUAAACAUCGCAGCGGGAAAACAGUGUUUGCUAUGGUUAAAGAUCUUAAAGUAGUGUUCGGAAAGGGGCCUGGAAGCCAGCAUAUAGAGAGCGAAGAUGGUCACGCGGCGAUGUGAAAAAAGAACUCUAUAUUUUGGGAGUUACCAUAUUGGGAAUUCUUAUACGUACGCCACGCAAUCGACGUGAUGCACCUCACUAAGAACCUUUGCGUAAACCUUCUUGGCUUCCUAGGUGUAUACGGAAAGUCGAAAGAUACACUGGAAGCACGUAAUGAUCUGAAGCAUAUGGAACAACGCGGCGACCUUCACCCGGAACCAAAGGAGAAAGGAAGCCAUUACUUGAGUCCAGCCAGCUACACUCUUAGCAAGGAAGAGAAGGAAAGUAUGUUUGAAUGCUUGGAGAGCAUAAAGGUACCGUCUGGAUACUCCACGAAUAUCAAGCGAAUAAUAAGCACGAAGGAGAAGAAGUUCACAAACCUAAAGUCUCAUGACUGUCACGUGUUGAUGACACAACUGCUACCAGUUGUAAUAAGGGGUAUCCUUCCAGACAAUGUCCGGGCAACAAUAACAAAGAUAUGUGCAUUCAUGAACGCAAUUUCGCAGAAGGUCAUCGAUCCGGAUAGAUUAGAAGCCCUUCAGAAUGAAGUGGUGCAAUGUCUCGUCAGUUUUGAGUUGAUAUUUCCACCUUCAUUUUUCAAUAUAAUGACGCAUCUGCUUUGUCACCUUGUGAAAGAGAUCCGUAUUCUCGGGCCUAUGUACCUACACAACAUGUUUCCUUUCGAGAGGUACAUGGGCGUUCUGAAGAAGUAUGUUCCUAACCGUGCUCGUCCAGAGGCAAGCAUCGCCAAGGGUUAUGGAACAGAGGAGGUCAUCGAAUUUUGCGUAGAAUUUAUCGAAGACCUUCGCCCAAUCGGGGUACCUGAAUCACGCCAUGAAGGGAGACUACGGGGAAAGGGAACUCUCGGAAGGAAAGCAAUAACGACGGUAGACAACAAUUUAUUCCGUAAAGCCCAUUUCACUGUUCUGCAACACUCUUCAUUGGUAGCUCCUUACAUCGAGGAGCACUUGGCUCUAGUUCGCGCCAGGAACAUCGGUAAGUCCGAUGCAUGGAUUACACGGCAUCACAUUGAUACUUUCCCCGCGUGGCUACGACAUCAUCUCAUGGGUAACGAGUCGAUCAACCAACAACUUGCCUUCCUGGCGAGGGGACCGUUUGGGUCGAUCGCGACAUUACAGGGAUAUGAGAUCAAUGGGUACACAUUCUACACGAGAGCCCAAGACAUGAAGAGCACGAACCAAAACAGCGCUGUUCGUGUCGAUGCCAUGGGACACGAUGGAACAACUGCCACGUAUUACGGUGCCAUCGAGGACAUAUGGGAACUUGACUAUGGUCCUCUCAAGGUUCCUCUGUUCCGGUGCCAAUGGGUUAGGUUGACUGGUGGAGGCGUAAUGAUUGAUGAUAGUGGGAUGACAACUGUUGACCUUAACAAGGUUGGAUACUCGGACGAACCUUUUGUCCUUGCCAAUGAUGUAAUGCAAGUCUUUUUCGUGAAGGACAUGUCUAGCAAAGGAAAGAAGGGCAGAGGGCCUGAUGAGCCUAAGCGUCAAGUGGUUCUCCCAGGCAAAAGAAAAAUCAUCGGAGUUGAGGACAAGACUGACGAGGAUUACGAUCAGUUGGAUGGGCAACCCCCUUUCACGGUGACGAUUGACCCUAGCAUCCUCCUAUCAAAUGAAGACACCCCUUACUCACGCAGCGAUCACAAGGAGGGAACAAUAGUGAGGAGAAAGUACGUGCCGUAAUUAUUGUGUACACGAUGUAAACUAUUUUGGAUGUAUUGAUUAUCCAUAUAAAUCAAUUGAUGUAUGGCAUAUGUUAAUUACGCACGAUUAUUAGAGGUUUCAACAAGUUUAAAUCAUGUAUAUGCUAGUUAUAUGUGAUACUUACAAUUUUUAAAAGUUUUAAAUCACACAGGUGACAAUUUCAUAUGUAUGUUAAUUAGAGUUUUUAACAUUUAAUUUACUAGCAUUCAUAUGCUAAUUAUAAUUGACUAGAGGAUUUUUAAAAGUUUUAAAUCACGCAAGUGGCAAUUUCAUAUGUUAAUUAGAGUUUUUAACAUUUAAUUUACUAUCAUUCAUAUGCUAAUUAUAAUUGACUAGAGAAUUUUUAAAAGUAUUAAAUUUAAUAUAUUUUUAAAACUAUCAUUCAUAUAUUAGAGUUUUUCACAAUUAAAUUUACUAUCUUUCAUAUGCUACUUAUAUAUGACUAUUCGAAUUUUUAAAAGGUUUAAAUCAUGCAUGUGGUAUUUACAUAUGUUAAUUAGAGUUUUUAGCAUUUAAUUUAAUAUAAUUCCUACGCUAAGUACAUAUGAUGAUUACAAUUUUUAUUAAUUUUAAAUCAUGCAGUAUGUACAUACAUAUCUUAAUUAGAGUUUUUACCAAUAUAAUAAUAUCAUUCAUAUAUAUGCUAAGUAUAUAUGAUUAUUGGAAUUUUUAUUAAUUAUAUUUGCUUAUUACGAUUUAUCCACUUAAUUUAUUACAGACAAAAAUAAUUUUUCGAAGUAAUUGUCAUUAAUCUUUGUACUUUAAAUAAUGUUAAUGCAUUAACUUCUAUUUUAUAAACACGUAUGUAAGCGAAAAACAUAUGCAGUGCUAUAAUCUUUAGUCCCGGUUCUUAACCCUAACCGGGUUUAAAAAGAAUUUCGAAAUAGCGGGAAAAGAUAUUUACUCCCGGUUGUUGAGAACAACCGGGACUAAAGAUAUCUUUAGUCCCGGUUGUUGACAACAACCGGGAGUAAAGAUCUUUUCUUUACUCCCGGUUGUUCUCAACAACCGGGAGUAAAGAUCCGGGGGUAUAUAUAUUCCCGGUGCGCCCUCGUCUUCUUCACCAACACUUAAACGUUUUCGGCCGAUCGAUCUCUCUCGGCCUCUCUCCUUCGCCGCCACUGCCUAGGGCAAAUCCCCGCGCCGACGCCGCCGUAUCUCGCCGUCGUCUCGAGCUCGUCGUCAUCGCCGCCGCCUCCGCCUCCUCCGCUGCCGCCGCAUCUCUGGGGUGAGAGCCGCCGCCGCCAGAUCUCCCUUCAUGCAUCUCGAUCUCUCCGAUCUCGAUCUCUCUCCGUCGCGCCGCCCGCCACGAGACGCCGCGCCACGACGACGACGCGCCACGAUGACGACGCGCCACGCCGCCGCCUUCGACGCCGCGCAACGCCGCUGCCGCAUGCCAACGCCACGCCGCCGCCGCCGUCGCCACGCCGCCGCCGCCUUCGCCGCCGCGCGCGCAAUGCCGCCGCCGCCACGCCACGCCACGCCGCCGCCGCCACGCCACGCCGCCGCCGCCACGGCCCCGCAACGCCACGCCGCCGCCGCCGCCGCCACGCCGCCGCGCCAACCGCCGCCCCGAUGCCGCCACACCGCCGUUAACGAACGAGAACGAGAACGAUCGAACGAACGAGAGCGAGAACGAACACGUCAACGUACGUUGCCGCGACAACGUGAACGAGAACGAGAACGAUCGAACGAACGAGAGCGAGAACGAACACGUCAACGUACGUUGCCGCGAGAACGUGAACGAGAACGAGAACGAUCGAACGAACGAGAGCGAGAACGAACACGAUCGAACGAAGACAAGCGAGAACGAGGGAACGAACGUGAAUGAGAACAAGCGAACGAACGUGAAUGAGAACGAGCGAACGAACGUGAACGAGCUAGGGAACGUGAACGAGCGAACGAACGAGGACGAACGUUAACGUGAAAUGCAAUAUAUAUAUAUAUAUAUAUAUAUAUAUAUAUAUAUAUAUAUAUGUUACUUCGCAUUUAUCCUAAUACAUUUUUUGUAUCUUGCAGAAAAGACGUGUUGUCGGAGUCGUCCGUCAAGCCUGAGUGGAAGAGCUAGCCCUAGAAGGAAUUGGAGCAGGCAAGUGACGUAAUAAUAUAAAUGAUUGUUAUAUUUGUAAUGCAAUUAAUUAAGAUUAUUAGACCUUUAAUUAGACUUAUCAUAUAAGAUUGUGUAGUGUUCUAAUAUUAUUUGAGUUUUAAUAUAAGAUUAUUUUAUUGCAAAUUAGACUUAGUAUGACAUUAUUGACUACGGAAUUGGUGCGACUCCUAGCAAUUGACUAUUGUAGUCUUAAUUAGACUUAGCAUAUACGCACGAAACACUUAGCAUACAUGACUAUUUUAGUCUUAGCAUGUAAUAUUAUUUGAGUUUUAAUAUAAUAUUAUUUUAUUUGUAAUUAGACUUGGUAUGUAAUUAUUGACUACGGAAUUGGUGCGACAAGUAGCAAUUGACUAUUGUAGUCUUAAUUAGACUUAGCAUAUACGCACGAAACACUUAGCAUAUACAUGACUAUUUUAGUCUUAGCAUAUAAUAUUAUUUGAGUUUUAAUAUAAGAUUAUUUUAUUUGUAAUUAGACUUAGUAUAUAAUUAUUUACUAGCUAGGGUUGUAUAAUAUACGUCACCUAGACUUAGCUUAUAUCACGAUUUAUAAUUAGACUUAGCACGUAAGGUUGUGUAGGGUUCUAAUGUACGACAUUUACACUUAGCAUACAUGACUUAGAUUGUUAAAACAUAAAUGUCUCGUGACUUAGCAGAUGUUUCUUGUAUCAACAGAUGGCUGACCGCGAUGAGGAACAGAUAUUGUACGAUACAAUCGCGGAGGGAAGCAGCCAGUACUGGAAUGAAGAAGAGGGGAACGAGGAUCCAAACCAGUACUUGAACGAGGAAGGGAACGUGGAGAGGGAUGCGGAGGGGAACCAGCAGGGGCACGUGGAAAGGGAUGUGGAGGGGAACCAGGAGGAGGUUAGUGGUAAUCAACCCUCCGUUGGACAGAAGAGGGCAUGCGGGCAACGAGGUGCAGCGAAGAAGCUUGAGGGUCGGCACAUCAUAACGGAAGUGGAAGAAGAUGGACGUCCUAGUGCCCCGGCCGAAGCCGCCAAGAACUAUGUACGUCACAGCGGUUGGGUUGUGCGGGAUAACGUGCCUGUCAGUACGGUGUACUGGCGAAGAACAAGGGCACACGGAGAUCAUGAGAGCUUUGUCCCAGAUUCGGAGAAAGAGAUGUUGUGGACCACAAUGCUCGAGACAUUCACCCUUCCUGCUGGUACAGAGGACAAAGUGAAAAGGUGGACUCUGAAGAAAAUGGCAGAACAGUUUCAGAGCUUCAAGGGAGAUCUGUACCAGAAGUAUAUACUGAAGGGGCAGACACCGAACUUCGACACAUUCCCAAAGCUAAGGGAUCACUGGGACGAGUUCGUUGCAUAUAAGACAGAUGAACAAGGGCAGGCGAUGAUGGAAAGAAACAAAGAAAAUGCCGCCAAGAAGAAGUACCAUCACCACUUGGGGUCAGGAGGCUAUAGCGUCGCGAUACCGAAGUGGGAGCAGAUGGAGGCUAGCUUGAUUGAGAGGGGUAUCGAACCGGCAACAGCCAAUUGGCCGGAACGAUCGAAGUUCUGGUACUAUGCUCACGGUGGAACGCUCAACCCAGCUGAUGGCUCACUGGUCUUCGGCUAUCAGAUACGAGAGGCUGCGCGACGACUAACAGAUGCAGUGGAAGCCUCCUCUCAGGGCACGUUCCGACCAGACAGAGAUAGGGACGAGCUGACACUCGCCCUGCAGACUCCAGAGCAUCCAGGACGAACUCGAGGGAAAGGGGUGAUUCCUUGGAAGAUUGGUUUCAAGGAGGACAUCCACACGUACAGGAGUCGGAUGAGGAGCAAGAGAGAUACCGAGGCGAAGAUUGCAGACCUAGAGUUCCGGGUAUCGAGCUACGAACUCAACAUGCAAGAGGAGGUGGCAAGGAAGGUUGAUGAACGCAUGGCCGCACAUCGGUCCCAUGAUCCCCAGCCGACCAUUCCUCUUGCAAUGGUGAGCCCGUCAGGAAACCGUAGCAGCUGCGCCUCAACAGGGCAGGUAGGAUCACAGAGCAUGGACGCCAUGCAAACACAGGACGAAUCGACCUGUCCCGUUGAUGACAUCACUCAGCGGACACCAUGUGAGCUGCAUAUUCCUUUCAAGAACUUAUCAAUAAAGGUAAGAUUUAGCCAUUCCGCUAGUUGCUGCUUAUAUAUGUUGAUUACUAAUAAAUAAUCUCUCACAACAUGAAGGUGGCGUCGGGCAUGGCCAUCCCAACGGACCCUUCAGGUACUUAACACUGUAGGCCGAUUCCAGCAGGAUACUCGAAGGUCGAAGUUGAGUUGGUCGAAGGCGCGUACGAGGACCUCGAGCUGGAUUACCCUGGAGGAGACGGUGAGACGCAUCUACGAGACACAUGCCAUGCCAUUAUUCUAUGGCGCAGGCGGUACAUCAUCCUCCCUGGGCGACAAGCGGCGUCUCGUGCACCAUCUCCUCCGGCUCCGCCAUCUCCUCCUCAGGAUCCUGCACCGUCUCCUCCUCAUGCUCCGCCAGCACCGUCUCCACCUCAGGCUCCAGCAUCGACUCCUCCUCAGGAUCCUGCACCGACUCCUCCUCGUGCUCCUACACCUACUCCCCCGCAAGCUCCUCUUCUGGCACCUUCAAAGUCAGGGGCCCCCCCAGCUCCACCGCCUGCCCACACAAGGGCAACGAAGAAGGCGAAAGUUGACGCCGCCAAGAACAAGGACCCGGGGUACGAUUGCACGCAAGAGGAGCUUGACGCUUACGUUGCAUCAGAAGUCAAGAGACAAUUCAAGCCUCGAAGUCCAGAAAAGAAGAUUCCUAUAGACCCCAGUGUCAGGAACUUCUUCAGGGGUAUGUCUGCAUCUGUCAAGGAGGCCAUCAAGCUAUCGGACUAUGAGCGAACGCUGAAGAAAGCAUCUUUUGGAAAGUCCAAACCAGUCCCUCAGCUUGGAGAGCAACCAAACCAGGAGAUCGAGCCGUUGGUGACCGGUAAAGAAAUGACGAUAGAACAAUUUAUUACUGACACCGGUCUAACUACAGAUCAAUUGCUAGGAGUCGCACCAAUCGAAAAGGCGGAAGUGAAAUACAUGUACGAACUCGGUAAACCGCUUGUCAAGCCUGAGCUGCUGCAGUCCCUACCCACACAAAUGUACAAGUUCCAUCAGCUGUACAUGGAGAUGAGCGCCACCGGUAGAGAGAUGAUCGGAGCGAGGAUCAGGGACACGGGCUUCUUGCAAGGAGAUGACAUUCUCUGGAUCAAUUUCAGGGGAAUCUACGAACUAUACCAGCUGGACGCCCUCGACGUCUCUAUUAUGAGUUGCUGGAUUUUGUAAGUAUAUCGUUCAGUUAGAUUUCUUACUAUACGUCUCCUUUAAUUAAUUAGGUCCUUGUAUAUAAGUAGACCAUAGAAAAUAAUAUACUCCCUUUUAUCGUUGUAGAAUGGAGAUUCAAAGGGCCCGACGGCGGAGGGUUUUCGAUACUGGAUUCAUCGACCCUCGGAAAGUAAACGUCGCAAUGCUCGACCAAUAUCCACAAGAAACAGAGGACAAUCUCGUCCAUCUCCUGAAGGCGCAGCAUUACAAGACGUUCAUACUGUUGCCAUACAACACAGAGUUAGUUUAAUUUUACUGUCUUCCUACAUACCAAAUUUCAUUCCCGUACGAACUUGCUAAGUGUUUCAUAUGUAAUACAUCCCACGCACAUUGCAGAUUCCACUGGGUGCUUUUACUCAUCGACCUGGAGGCCUGCACCGUCAACGUAUAUGAUUCAAUGGAUAAAAAAGAGUCUACGUUUGACAAGGUUUUCGAACUUAUAGACAGGUACCGUCAUAAGUUCCUUUGUUAAUUAAGAAAAUCUUGUUAUGUUAAUUGCUACUACGAAUCAUAGCUUUAAACUCCAUGUAGGGCUUGGUAUCGGUUCCGUCAUUUGGUCCGCGGCAAAUGGAGAGAAAGACUUAGGCGGAAGUUCAAAUUUCCUGUGAGUACACAUGCUCUACAUUUAUAUUUCUCCGAUUCAAAUACAUACAAGUGUAUAUUAAUUAGAUCUCUCGUUGUUUAUUAUUUAUUUGUAGUGCGCAAAGCAAAAGCAGAGAACUAACUUGUGCGGCUAUUACGUGUGCGAGUAUUGCCACUGCCUUGCAGACCAAAUCAUCACCACAAGAGAGCUCGAUGUACGUACAAAUAAAUUCAAAAUUUCAUUACGUAGCGAUUUCUUGUUUAAUUACUAAUCAAUUUCAUACAUUCAUAUAGUUUAUUCGCAUGAGGGAUAACCUGACCACACACAAGGAAUUUAUCGCGGCGGUUCAAGAACAACUCAUGGGAUUCAUCAACGAAGAAAUCCUUGAUCCCAAGAGUGAAUUCUACUACGACGGAAACACAAUUCACCGGUCCUUAGCUUCUGAGCUAGCAGCGAGUACUACUACGUCGAAAUCGUAGCUAGCUAGGACAUAUAAUGGAUUGUAAUUAAUACAUGACUACAUAUGUUUCUAUAUGCAUGUGUACACAUUUUCUAUAAUGUAAAUAUAUUUUGUUCAUAUAUAUAUCUAUAUACAUAUGCAUUUGCAUAACAUAUAUAUGUAUAAAUACAUAUAUAUUAUGCAUGUAUAUACAUAUAAUAUAAUAUAAUAUAUAUAUAUACAUAUAUAUAUGUAUGCAUAUAUAUGUAUUGAAACAUAUAUAUGCAUGGUUUAUAUAUAUAUAUAUAUAUAUAUAUAUAUAUAUAUAUAUAUAUAUAUAUAUAUAUAUAUAUAUAUAUAUAUAUAUAUAUAUAUAUAUAUAUAUAUAUAUAUAUAUAUAUAUAUAUGUCGGUGACAUGGGACCGGGAGUAUCAUGACUUAGAGACUUGAGGCAGACACGAUCACCCACGUGGCCUAACCCCCUCGGGGGGGGGGGUCGGGCCCGAGGGUGAUACGGCCGCCCUUCUCUUUGUCUCCCCGAGGGGUCGGACCGCUCCCGUCUCGGCCCCGAGGGCCGAGGCGCCCCGACCCCUUGUGGGUUUUGCGCCGCGUAUAUGGGGUAGGUGAGCAUAGCGGGGCUCACCUAACCACAUUUAUUGCGGUUUGGACGAGCGCGUCACGCCGCAUGUAACGCAGUGCAGCGCGCUCGUUUAUCCGGUCAGUGACCAGUCACAGACCGAUCAGAUCGUGGGUUAGGUGGCGACAGGCGGUCUGACGCACGCCUCGCCCCAUCCCGUCAGGAUGAGAGCCUCCAAGCACUCGUCCCUAGCCGGAGCCGGCGUGUUAGCUCCUGGAGAUGGCACGUUGGUCCCGGUCAGAUAUAUACCAGGCUUCAUCCUAACCAUUACAAGCAAGACAUUGUAUGAAGAGGGGCGAACAUGCAGAUUGAUAAACUGACGCGUGGUGGACAAGAAUGACCGAUUUGUGACCGGUCUGACACUGAUCAUGUCGUCAGCAGACAGCCAUGUUCCCAAGUCGCGCCUGCUUCCGGCGGAAGUGGAGGUAGGUAUGGGCUGUCCCAUCAGAAGGUCAUUCGGACGGCAACCAUACAAGUCUCCGUCUGUUUAUGAAAAGAUAGGAUAAGUCCCCACAAAAAAGAAGGAGAUGGUGCAUGUGGUAUCCCCUUGAGGUAUAAAAGGAGGACCUUGCCCACUUAGAAGGAGGAGGGAUUUUCGGAUCCAGAACGAUCAGAGAGGAAGAGAGUAAGAGCUCUCUGGUUCUCCAGCUCUUUUGUAGCUUCUUCAUACAUAGAUCCACAAAAACACAGGAAGUAGGGUAUUACGCUUCUCAGCGGCCCGAACCUGUAUACAUCGCCCGUGUCUUGUGUGUUUCCAUUCUCGCGAACCUUCCACACAAAGACUAGGAGCUUAGAAUCUCACCCAGGGCCCCCGGCCGAACCGGCAAAGGGGGGCCUGCGCGGUCUCCCGGUGAGGAGCCCCACGCUCCGUCAUCUGGCGCGCCAGGUAGGGAGCUUUGCGUGUGUUUUUCUAAGCUCUCGCAUUCUUUCGUGUGCGCCAAGCUUUUCCUGUUCGGCCCAAUGGCCGAACAAGCAAAGGCGCACAACCUCUCUCCGAGUGUUAGCGGUGAUGACGGGGAGCCGAACCCACGCCGUCGAGCUCGUACUCCACCGCCCCCUCCACGCCAAAGUCCUAGGCGGGAGGAGGCGCUCGAGAGGGUCGAAGGAUCCGCGACUUCGACAUCCACGGGUGAUGGGGAAGGGCGGCGAGAUGGGGAGCGUCGCCUCCUCGUCUACGGCGACGGCAGCACGCCCCAGGGCGCGCUCCAAGCUGCGGGCGCGCUCCUACGUCACCCGCCCAUUGUGCCUGACCCGGAGGCUCCAGCCCAACGUUGGUUGGACGACGUGGCCAACUUGGUCAUGACGGCACGGCAGCGCCUAGGUGCUGGUGGGCGGUCCUCCGCCACCAAGACCUCUGGCGCUGCUACCACCGGCUCCGUGUCGUCAAGGCGGAGGGCGCGGCGAGCGGCGGCUGUUGCUCGCCAUUCAGCCGCCACUCCUUCGUCAGCGCCUCCGACCCAGGAAGAUCUGCGUGGGGGGCCGGAUGCCCGCAUCAGUAUCGAGCGCCGGCGUAAUGGCCGGCGUGCUGCCCACGCAACGGAGGGCGCCUCCUCGUCCGGAGUGUCGCAUCAACACGGACGCGGGGAUCAGCCCUCCGUGCCCCCGGUUGGUGGUGUCGGCUGUAGAGCCUUUGUGGCGAGCCUUCGGAACGUCCGUUGGCCCCCAAGGUUCCGGCCCACCAUCGCCGAAAAAUAUGACGGGAGCGUCAACCCCGCCGAGUUUCUCCAGGUCUACACGACCGGGAUCGAGGCCGCCGGGGGUGACGACAGGGUCAUGGCGAAUUUCUUUCCCAUGGCCCUGAAGGGACAGGCACGGGGUUGGCUAAUGAACUUGCCACCCGCGUCCGUCCACUCUUGGGAGGAUUUGUGCCAACAGUUCACCAUGAACUUUCAAGGCACAUAUCCGCGCCCAGGUGAAGAAGCGGACUUACAUGCAGUCCAGCGAAGGGAUGAUGAGUCACUUCGCUCAUACAUUCAGCGGUUCUGUCAAGUCCGCAACACCAUACCAUGCAUCCCUGCACACGCGGUGAUCUACGCGUUCAGGGGGGGUGUGCGGCACAACCGCAUGCUCGAAAAGAUCGCCUCCAAAGAGCCCCAGACUACCGCGGAGCUUUUUCAGCUCGCGGACCGAGUGGCUCGAAAGGAAGAGGCAUGGACCUAGAACCCCUCCGGUUCCGGUGUGGCAGCUUCGGCCGCCCCCGGAUCUGCUGCUCGGACAGGGCGGCAUGACAGGAGGAGGAAGAAGAGGUCAGCCCAUUCCGACGACGAGGGUCAUGUCCUCGCCGUCGAGGGCGCUUCGCGGGCCACCCGAAAGGGGAGGCCUGCGAGCGACAAAAAGAAGGAGGCCGGCGCUCCCAGUAGGGAGCGCCCAACCGGCAAGUGGUGCAUCGUCCACAACACCUCCCUUCACGAUCUCGCGGACUGCCGUGCAGUCAAAAGUUUGGCUGAGCGGACGAGGAAGUGGGAGGAGGAGAGGAGGCAGGAGCGCCGAGAGGGCAAGUCCCCGGCGGUUCCUUCCGGCAAUCGGCGAAGUGAGGCCAAGCAGAAGGCCCCCGCCGAGGACAUCGAUGACGGCGAUGAUGACCUAGGUUUCCAAGAGCCUGGGGCCACCAUUGCCACUGUCGAUGGGGGAGCGUGUGCUCACGUUUCUCGUCGGAGCCUCAAGGCCAUGAAGCGAGAGCUUCUGGCCGCGGCCCCUACUCAUGAGGCGACGCGCCGGGCGCGGUGGUCGGAGGUUGCCCUCACCUUCGACCAGACCGACCACCCACCGUGCGUUGCCCGGGGAGGACAAAUCGCAAUGGUGGUUUCCCCCACUGUUUGCAACGUGAAGCUGGGGCGUGUCCUCAUUGAUGGGGGAGCAGCCCUCAACAUCCUUUCCCCCGCAGCCUUUGACGCUAUCAAGGCCCCGGGGAUGGUGCUCCGGCCGUCCCAGCCGAUUAUCGGUGUGACGCCGGGUCACACUUGGCCGCUAGGUCAUAUCGACCUCCCGGUCACCUUCGGUGGAUCCGCCAACUUCCGCACGGAGCGGGUGAACUUUGAUGUGGCGGACCUCAGACUGCCCUACAACGCGGUCCUAGGGAGGCCCGCGUUGGUGAAGUUCAUGGCGGCAGUCCACUACGCCUACCUCCAGAUGAAGAUGCCGGGCCCCGGUGGCCCCAUCUCUGUCCAUGGCGACCUCAAAGUCGCGCUUGCUUGUAUGGAGCAGCGCGCGGACCACCUCACCGCCGCGUCCAAGCCCGAGGGAGGCGACGAGAGGCUUGGCACCUCCGCCCCCGCCGCCCCGAGGCAGCGGAUAGUCACAUGCGACGAGGUUCCGGUCAAGGAGGUUGCCCUGGGCGACGGCCCGUCCAAGACCACACGGAUCGGUGGUCUUCUGGGCGGCAAAUAGGAAGACGCGCUCGUCUCUUUCCUGCGGGCAAACGCUGACGUCUUCGCAUGGAGACCGACGGAUAUGCCCGGGGUCCCCAGGGAGGUGAUUGAGCACCGUCUCGCCGUGCGGUCGGGCGCAAGGCCGGUCCGGCAGAAAGUACGGCGGCAGGCCCCGGAACGUCAAGCCUUCAUCCGCGAGGAGGUGGCGCGACUUCUGGAGGCCGGAUUCAUCCGCGAGGUCAUCCAUCCGGAGUGGCUGGCGAACCCGGUGGUCGUUCCCAAGGUGAACGGCAAGCUUCGGAUGUGUAUCGACUACACCGACCUUAACAAGGCAUGUCCUAAGGACCCUUACCCCCUGCCUCGCAUAGAUCAGAUUGUCGACUCCACAGCGGGGUGCGACCUUUUGUGUUUUCUAGAUGCAUACUCUGGUUACCAUCAGAUUCGCAUGGCUAGGGAGGAUGAGGAAAAAACUGCAUUCAUUACCCCCAUAGGAACUUAUUGUUAUACGACAAUGCCCUUCGGGUUAAAGAAUGCAGGUCCUACUUUUCAACGUACUACUCGAAUUUCUUUGGGUAGCCAAAUAGGACGUAAUGUUGAGGCUUAUGUCGAUGACUUGGUUGUAAAGACGCGCAACCAAGAGACCUUACUCUCGGAUCUAGCGGAAACUUUUGAGAGUCUCCGCUCCGCCCGCAUAAAACUGAACCCCGAUAAGUGCGUGUUCGGUGUACCUGCGGGCAAGCUUCUCGGGUUUUUGGUCUCUGCCCCAGGCAUCGAGGCCAACCCCGAGAAGAUACGAGCUAUAGAGCGGAUGCGCCCCCCCAGCAAGCUUAGGGAUGUGCAAUGUGUCACCGGUUGCAUGGCCGCCCUAAGUCGGUUCAUAUCGAGGCGGGAGAGAAGGCGCUACCCUUAUUUAAGCUCCUCAAACGCUCCGGGCCGUUUACUUGGACGGAGGAAGCUGAACGUGCCCUCACUCAGUUGAAGGCGUAUCUCAGCUCUCCCCCAGUUCUGGUCGCCCCGGAGCCAAUUGAACCAUUGCUACUCUACUUAGCGGCGACCCCGCAAGUGGUUAGUGCGGCGUUGGUUGUGGAGCGCGAUGAGGACAAUCCUCAUUCCGCGCACCCCCACCCUGUGCUGGCUUGGCCCGGGAGAGAGCAGGGAGGAGAGGCCCCCGAGCCGAACGGUGGCCCAAGGCCCCCGACGACCGGAGCAGGCCCUCUGCCCGCUUGUCAGACGGUGCCAGGUGCCCCCGACCCCCAGGAUGGCCCGAGGGCCACUGCGGGAAGGCCGCACCUAUCGCCCUCUGACCCCGAGGCUAACCCUGUGCCGACUCGACCCGGGAGAGAGCAGGGAGAAGAGGCCCCCAAGCCGAACGGUGGCCUAAGGCCCCUGACGACCGGAGUUGGCCCUUUGCCCGCUUGUCCGACGACGCCAGGAGCCCCCGACCCCCAGGACGGCCCCGAGGCCACUGUGGGAAGGCCGCCCCUGUCGUCCUCCGACCCCGAGGUCGUCGGCACAGAAGAUGAGUGCACCCCGCGAGGCCGCUUGGACAAAGAGCGCCCCAGGGAUGUGGCCCCUAGCGAAGAGGAUCGGCCCCACCGAAAGGUGCAGCGGCCCAUCUACUUUGUUAGUGAGGCCCUCCGGGACGCCAAGACCCGAUACCCUCAGGCCCAGAAGAUGCUUUACGCUAUUCUGAUGGCUUCGAGGAAACUGCGCCAUUAUUUCCAGGCACAUCGGGUCACGGUUGUUACGUCUUACCCCCUCGGCCAAAUCUUGCAUAAUCGAGAGGGUACUAGACGUGUGGUGAAAUGGGCAAUCGAACUUUCUGAGUUUGAUUUGCACUUUGAACCACGCCACGCUAUCAAGAGCCAGGCCUUCGCCGAUUUUGUGGCAGAGUGGACCCCAGCUCCCGAGCCCGUCUCAGUCCCCGAGGCCAGCUCGGGCCCCUCACAGCUGCCUCACACCGCCCACUGGGUGAUGCAGUUCGACGGCUCCCUGUCUCUUCAGGGCGCCGGUGCGGGGGUCACGUUGACCUCGCCGAACGGAGACGUCCUCAGAUAUUUGGUUCGCCUUGACUUUCGGGCGACCAAUAAUAUGGCAGAGUACAAGGGACUCCUUGCGGGACUCAGGGUGGCAGCUGGACUGGGGAUCCGCCGCCUCCUGGUGUUAGGCGACUCCCAGCUGGUCGUUAACCAGGUCUGUAAGGAGUACCGGUGCUCUGACCCGCAGAUGGACGCUUACGUGCGCCAAGUACGGCGUAUGGAGCGCCAUUUUGACGGGAUAGAGCUUCGGCAUGUGCCCAGACGGGAUAACACGGUUGGCGACGAACUCUCACGGCUCGCUUCCUCGCGAGCCCAGACCCCACCGGGCGCCUUUGAAGAAAGGCUUGCCCAGCCGUCGGCGCGACCCGACCCCUUAGGGGAGACGGACGCGCCUGACAGGCCCCCGAUGCCCGUCGGAGUCCAGGCCUCGGGACCCGAGGGGAGCGCUCCCAGCUCCCUUAGAUUGAUUGCUUGGAUCGCUGAGAUCCAAGCAUACCUCACAGAUAAGACUCUACCCGAGGACCGCGAAGGGAGUGAACGCGUCCAGCGCAUCUCCAAACGCUACGUGCUGGUAGAAGGGACCCUCUAUCGGCGCGCGGCUAACGGAAUCCUCCUGAAGUGCAUUCCUCGGGAACAAGGCGUCGAGCUUCUUGCCGAUAUCCAUGAAGGCGAAUGCGGAGCCCACUCCGCCUCGCGCACCUUGGUUGGCAAAGCCUUUCGACAAGGUUUCUAUUGGCCGACAACUCUUAAUGAUGCGGUCGACCUGGUCCGGCGAUGCAGAGCGUGUCAAUUCCACGCCAAGCAAAUCCAUCAGCCGGCCCAGGCCCUGCAGAUCAUACCACUUUCGUGGCCAUUUGCUGUCUGGGGGCUCGAUAUCCUGGGACCGUUUAGGCGGGCCCCGGGCGGGUUUGAGUAUCUAUAUGUCGCGAUCGACAAGUUCACUAAGUGGCCCGAGGCUUAUCCGGUCGUCAAGAUCGAUAAGCACUCCGCACUUAAAUUCAUUAAGGGCAUCACAGCCCGGUUUGGAGUGCCUAACCGUAUUAUUACGGAUAACGGCACCCAAUUCACUAGUGAACUUUUCGGCGAUUACUGCGAAGACAUGGGCAUCAAGCUCUGCUUCGCCUCACCUGCCCACCCCAGAAGCAACGGCCAAGUAGAGCGCGCCAAUGCGGAAAUCCUCUGAGGCCUUAAAACCAAGACCUUCAACAUCCUCAAGAAGCACGGCGAUUCGUGGAUCGAGGAGUUGCCAGCGGUGCUCUGGGCGAACCGAACCACGCCAAGCCGAGCAACCGGGGAAACGCCUUUCUUCCUCGUCUACGGCGCGGAAGCGGUUCUCCCAUCCGAGCUCACCCUGAGGUCCCCUCGGGCCACCAUGUACUGCGAGGCUGAUCAAGAUCAGCUCGCAGAGAUGACCUCGACUACUUGGAAGAGCGAAGGCGGCGCGCGGCCCUCCGAGCUGCGCGCUACCAGCAGAGCCUGCGGCGCUACCAUCAGCGCCACGUCCGGGCCCGAUCACUCUGCGUCAACGACCUCGUCCUACGCCGCGUCCAAACGCGUGCUGGAUUGAGCAAGCUCUCACCAAUGUGGGAGGGUCCGUAUCGACUGAUCGGCGUCCCCCGGCCGGGCUCCGUUCGGCUGGCCACGGGCGAUGGCACAGAGCUGCCUAACCCGUGGAACAUCGAACACCUUCGUCGCUUCUACCCCUAAAGGGGGAUCGGGUGUCAGGUUUCGGGCUCGGGCCAACCCCGCACCCCCCUCGGGCGUGCAGGGUUGGCCGGGGGCUACCACAUAUGCAUAUUCUUAUUUCUUUUAUAUCUGUAUUUCAAUAAAAGCAUUUUCGAUUUCCUAAAGGCUGUAUCUGUGCUGUUGUUUCCUUUUGAAGGAUCUUGACUUGAAAUAGGUCACUCGUGUUCAAUCCUGCCCUCGGGGGCUCGGGUCGGCUAAAAUCGCCAAACGGGGCCCAGAACCGAGCCGUGCCCCGGGGCGUGGUGAACUCCGGGGGGGAAUCGGCAAAAACCCACAAUCGGGUCACCCAUAACCCUCGGUCAUCACGCUCCCGGCCUGGCCAGUCUCGACAUGUGGAUCUCCCCAGGCACUAGCCCCGACCCGAGCCAUUUGAGGACUAGGACCUGGGCACGAGCCCUUGUUCAAGCCAAGACACAAAAGGACCGCGGCACAGACCAUCCUCGUCUCAUACACACAACAAAUAGAAUUGACACAAAAAAUUUUCCUCUUUAUUUGAUUGCAGAUUAAAUUAGUCUAUACAAGAAGGGGGCCCGAAGGCCUCGGAAGAAGAAAAGAAGAAACUAUUUAAAGAUUGGCGGGGGCCUGGGGGCUCACUCCGAUGCACCCGGGUCGCCAGCCUCGUCGCCACUGUCGCCCACUCCGCCGUCAUCGUCCUCCUCGUCGGAGUUGAGGGCGAACGCGAGCCGAGGGGCCGAACCCUCGAAGCUGUGGACGAUAUGGUCGGCGGCGUCCCGGACCUGCGCGCGCGCGCCGUCCUCGGUCCCGGGAGGGAACUCGUCCAGCGCCGUCCAUGGGGAGAAGUCGGGAUCCCUGGCUUGGUAACUCGCCAGUACGAGCUCCACCGCUCCUCGGGCGAGGUCCCUCGAGGAUGACUUAAUCGUCCUCUCGAGCUCCUCGGGAAGCCGUUGGAGAGUCCCGGCUAUCUCCGAGAGGCGCUGGGCGAGGCCCCCCUGGUUGGCGGCGUACUUCGCAGUCCGCCCGCCCCAGAGGCCCGCCUGCCGGCCGGCGCGGUCUAGACGGGAGACGGCGUCCCGAAGCAUGCCGGGCCCUACCUCGCCUGCCAAGCGGAGGGCCUCGACCUCCCGGCAGACGAGUCUAGCGCGCCCUGCAGAUCGGCGAUGGUGUGUUCGGCAGCUGCGAGGCGGGCGGUUAAGUCGCUUUCGCCCGCGGCCGCCCCGCCACUGCGCGCCCUCGCGUCCAGCUCCCUCUCCCGCGCCUCGAGCUCACCGGCCCACUGAUUCAGCGCGGCCCUCUCGGCGCGGGCACCUUCUAGAUUACGGCGCGCCUGCUCCUCCCGCACUGCCUCGCGGAGGGACAGGCUGUCCGCCAGCCGUUGCGCCGCGGCCUCGGCCUCCUCGAGAGCUCGCUCCCGCUCGGUGAGCGCGUCCUCGCGGAGGCGGAGCGCGGACUCCUCUUCGGCGCAGGCGGCCUCGUGCGCAGUCAGCGUUGCCUCCCGGAUGGCAACGGCGGCCUCGCGAUCCGCCAGGUUCCUCUCCACGGCACAGGCACGCUCUUCCAGCGCCAUGGCACGGGCCUCAAGGGCUUCUUCGCGCCGCCGGGAUGCCACCUCGGUCUCCGCCGCCCGCCGUUCUCGGGCAGCGGCAGCGUCAAGGACCCCCUGGGCGGCGUCGAGCUUCUUCCCUAGCUCCGCCUCCCAGCUCCCGUAUUGAAGGCGGAGGGUGUCCUGCGCCUCGUUCAUCACGGUGGUGGCGAUGAGGGCAGCCCCCCGCUCCUCCUCCACCUCCUUGGCGAUCUCCCCCAGCACCUUCCGACGGGCUUCGAGCUCUGAGACGUGCCGGCGGUGUGCCUUGCGGCCCACCUCCACCAUGGCCUCCACCGAGCGUCGCCCCUCUUCGACACGCGCCCAUGCGGCGUCGAGCUCCGCCCGCUCUGCUUGCAGGGCCUCCACCUGGGCACUUAACCCGUCCAACACCGUGGUGUUUGCGAUGGCCAAGGCCUGCAGAAGGGGUUCUGCGCUCAGUGGAGCAACGGAAGGCGUGGGGAAGAGCCGCCUCGAAGAGGAUGCUGCGCGGCUUGGCCCGCCGAUGGACGUGCCGGACUCGGGGAUGUCCCCCGGACCUGGUUUGUCCUGAGCGUCGCACGAGGGAGUGGGCCCAAGCGAUGCACUCGCGGCCUCGCCGCGAGUUGCCUCGGAAGUCGUUGUCGCCUCGGCCUGGCGAAGUCUAGCCUCCUCCCGAGCGGCUUCUUCAGCUUGGCGAGCUCGGACGGCCACCUGGGCAGCUUCCUCGGCUUCUUGAAGGCGAUCCACGGCCUCUUGCCGGUCAGUUUCACGGGUCGCCUCGGAGGAUGUCGUCGCCUCGGCCUGGCGGAGUCCGGCCUCCUCCCGAGCGGCUUCCUCGGUCUGGCGAGCCUGGGCGGCCUCCCGAGCGGCCUCCUCGGCUUCCCGAAGGCGAUCCGCGGCUUCUCGCCGGUCAGAUUCCCGCCUCCGGGCCUCUGUGGUCGCCGGGUCCUCGGCCUCAGACUGGCCGGACUUGGAAUGGCGGGAGGGACGCGACGGGAUCUCGCUGAAGCAGAAGAAAAGCCAGAAGACAAACAAGAUGGGUGAAUGAAAACUUGUGUUGGAAGAAUGAAUACAGCCACAAUGGGCGUGGGACGAACCUGCGAGGGGGUCGGUUAAACGACCACCUUGGAGGAGAAAUGAGGUUUCCCCGGGAUGGUUCUGUCCCCCCCAUCUUGCGGAGCCGUUUCUUCUUCCGCUCCCCCUCGGGCUGCGGCGUCGGCGCGGCCCCCUCCGGGCGCCUGCUGCUGACACGCGCCGCCCCGCCCCCUCGGGGAGGAGAUGGGGAGGAAGUACCCUCUUGCUUUCUCUUCCCUCGGGCGUCGGCAGGGCGGCUACCCCCCGAGCCCCCAUCACGGGGCCCAGAAGCACGACCCCCUCCCGGGGUAGAUUGUUCCCCCCUGCGGCUCCCGCCCGAGCCAUCGUGGCCUCGAGGAGCCCGCUCCUCCGACGCCCCGACCGCCUGCAUGAUGGUCAGGAUGUUGGCGCGAUCUGGAUCGCUGCAGAGGGGGAGGACUCCUUGGGGGAUGAGGGAUGCCUCCGCGGAGCUGAGAUUCAGCACCCGUUGGAUCAUUACCUUGAAGUCUUCGGGGACCCAGUCCCAUUUGACCCCCCGGUGGGUCCUCAUACAGUCCUCGGACCCGGUGUACUCCCAGGCAUCCCGGGCGCGCCGCUGGAGUGGCGCGAUCCGGCGACGAAGAUAGUCGCUGUACACCAUGGCCCCUGUGAGCCCCAGGGAUCACAGGCCCGCCAGGCGGUCGAGGACGGCGUCAUAGCCAUCUCCCAGAUCUACCGGCGCCCGCCAGCUGGAGGCCUGCGCCGGGGGCUGGCUCGGAAGACGGAGGCGCGCUUCGUCGGCGAGGGGGGUGUAGAACCAGUCGCUCUUCCAGUCAUCCCACUUCUUGCGGAGGACGCAGGGAAUGUAGCGGUUCAACACCGGCCCCCGCGGCUGGAAGUAGCAACCACCAACCACCGACGGCGGCGACACCGACUGUACGGUGAAGAACCACCGGAACAGCCGAAGGGAUGGGCGCACCCCGAUGAACAUCUCGCACAGGUGCGCGAAGAUGGCCAAUGUCAUUACCGCGUUGGGGGUGAGGUGCGCCAUCUGGAGAUCGUAAAACUCCAGAACAUCCAUGAAGAAAGAAGAAAAUGGCGGAACCAGCCCUGCCAUUGCAAAAGGGAGGAAGAAGACGGACCGCCCCGGGUAGCAUGGCGUCGGGCGUCCCUCGCCCAGCGUAACUAUCUCCCGGCCGGUGGCAGAUUCCGGCAUGAAGCGGCGUGGCAGCCCGGCCUGCCUCUCGCUCACGAUGCGGGAAGGCGGCAGCACGCUACCAUCAAGCAAAGCGGAGCCCCGUGCCAUGACGCCGGAGGAAGAGAUGUUUAAGAGCGAGCGCGUGUGGCGAAGGUAGGGCACAGGAAACAAGGAGUUAGGGCGCAAGCGGCGAAGACAAGGGGAAUAAUGGCGAGAGGAAGGAAGCAAAUCUCUUCCUCGGCGACUUUAUACCCUUGCCAACGCUGUGCCCGGCUCCUCGUUUCUCGCGCCCACUAUCUUGCCCCCUCGUUUCUCGCGCCCACGCUUCCACAAAUCCCAUUCGCCCGUUUGCGGUGCAUGAGGUGGACAUGCGGCUGUGGCAGUCGAGAUGGAACAUCUCGUGCGCGCGUUAAUUACGCUCGCCGACCAAAGCGCCAUCACCAUAUCUCCAGGAAAAACGAACCGGCUUGUCCCGAUUUUUAGACCGGCCCCACCAUGUCACCAGGCCUUAGGAAGUGGCGUCACGCCCGACCGCUUCCCUCGAGGAGGGCGAUCGCCCUGGCAUAACGCCGGGGGCUACUGUCGGUGACAUGGGACCGGGAGUAUCAUGACUUAGAGACUUGAGGCAGACACGAUCACCCACGUGGCCUAACCCCCUCGGGGGGGGUCGGGCCCGAGGGUGAUACGGCCGCCCUUCUCUUUGUCUCCCCGAGGGGUCGGACCGCUCCCGUCUCGGCCCCGAGGGCCGAGGCGCCCCGACCCCUUGUGGGUUUUGCGCCGCGUAUAUGGGGUAGGUGAGCAUAGCGGGGCUCACCUAACCACAUUUAUUGCGGUUUGGACGAGCGCGUCACGCCGCAUGUAACGCAGUGCAGCGCGCUCGUUUAUCCGGUCAGUGACCAGUCACAGACCGAUCAGAUCGUGGGUUAGGUGGCGACAGGCGGUCUGACGCACGCCUCGCCCCAUCCCGUCAGGAUGAGAGCCUCCAAGCACUCGUCCCUAGCCGGAGCCGGCGUGUUAGCUCCUGGAGAUGGCACGUUGGUCCCGGUCAGAUAUAUACCAGGCUUCAUCCUAACCAUUAAAAGCAAGACAUUGUAUGAAGAGGGGCGAACAUGCAGAUUGAUAAACUGACGCGUGGUGGACAAGAAUGACCGAUUUGUGACCGGUCUGACACUGAUCAUGUCGUCAGCAGACAGCCAUGUUCCCAAGUCGCGCCUGCUUCCGGCGGAAGUGGAGGUAGGUAUGGGCUGUCCCAUCAGAAGGUCAUUCGGACGGCAACCAUACAAGUCUCCGUCUGUUUAUGAAAAGAUAGGAUAAGUCCCCACAAAAAAGAGAGAGAUGGUGCAUGUGGUAUCCCCUUGAGGUAUAAAAGGAGGACCUUGCCCACUUAGAAGGAGGAGGGAUUUUCGGAUCCAGAACGAUCAGAGAGGAAGAGAGUAAGAGCUCUCUGGUUCUCCAGCUCUUUUGUAGCUUCUUCAUACAUAGAUCCACAAAAACACAGGAAGUAGGGUAUUACGCUUCUCAGCGGCCCGAACCUGUAUACAUCGCCCGUGUCUUGUGUGUUUCCAUUCUCGCGAACCUUCCACACAAAGACUAGGAGCUUAGAAUCUCACCCAGGGCCCCCGGCCGAACCGGCAAAGGGGGGCCUGCGCGGUCUCCCGGUGAGGAGCCCCACGCUCCGUCAAUAUAUAUAUAUAUAUAUAUAUAUAUAUAUAUAUAAACCAUGCAGCAACAAGGCCAUGCAAAAAAAAAAAGGACAGCUCGAUCUUUACUCCCGGUUAUUUCACCCGGGACUAAAGAUAGCGAUCUUUAGUCCCGGAUUGGUACUCCCGGUUUGGAAACCGGGACUAAAGGGGGGUUACGAAUCGGGACUACAAAGGGUUUCUCCACCAGUGUUUAUAAUACGCGAAGGCGUAUAGUUUAGUGGUAAAGUGCGAUCCAUGGACCGUGGUAGGAAUGUAGGAUAAGCACCGUCCCUAAUCUCAAUACGAUAAGAGACACGAUAGCUGGUCGAUCGUGCCACAGAGGUUAUAUCUAAUUUUAUUAUAUAUAUUUGAAAAAAAAACUAAUUAAUCAUGUGCUUAAACCAUGUGAUCAAGGUGGUGCUCAAAAUUUUCUCGUCGCAAUACGCAGCAAUACUGCUAUAGUACUGUCUAGUACUAUCGGCUGUACCGUUUAUUACAUGUAUGGAAAUAGCACUACGUAUAGUAUAGUAUACGGGAGUAUUGUGCUACACCUUGAUGUAAGAUUUGUUUGGAGGGUUUUUGAUUCUGAAGAGAGCUGUCGGGAAGGAUGAGUUAGGUUGGCUUUUUUUUAGACAUAGGGAAUAUAUUAUCAUGAUUGGUUUUUUAAACAGGGGAGUAUAUGCUAAUUAUGAGUUGCUUUAUUUUAGUUCCCAACAACAGCUUUCAAACACACCUUAAAAGCUAGAAAAUCAACGUGGUGAGAAUUUUAAGAAACACAAGCAUUAGACUAUUUAGGAGAGUAAUGGUUUUGAAAAACACUCCCUCCGUUUUAUAAUGUAAAUCAUUUUAGCAUUGCCUAUAUUUAUAUAGAUGCUAAUUAAUUUAGACAUGUCUAUAUAAAUUUAUAUAAAUGUGGAUAAUAAUAAAAUGACUUACAUUAUAAACGGAUGAAGUAUUCUACAGCUAUCAGAGUAUCAUAAAAAAGGGCAGUAAUGUUUGCCUAUCCGCGAUUACGUGCACCAUCCAUCGUCUCCACGUACGUCGUUCGCCGCAGGGUUCGCACUCGCGGGGCGUGUGUAGAUUCGCGGGCCGGCUGCAAUGGGCGAAAAGCUACGAGUAGAUCAUCGGAGGAAAAAAGGCGCCGGCAAAUCUCGGAACGCGGCGUAGUAAAAGCAAGAAAUUAAAAACAAAGCACCGAGAUCGGCUGACGUCGCCGCCAGCCGCCCCGGGAAGGGAAGCCUCGGUCGGGUCUUCGAGCGCCGUUCCCACGUACUCCGUACGGACGCAACCGCAUGGCGCGCGCGCAUUUUGAGGGCUGGCCGGCGCCGCGGGCCCCUGCCGCUGCCAGUGCCAACGUCGCGGCGUCACCGUGUUGUCCGUGCAGCUAGCUAGUCAUCACUGUAGCUGGCGGAGACUCGCCGGCUCGACGGGCGACGGCCAUGCACUUCCAUGGAGCAGCACCACAGACACCGGCCCGUCGCGCAAUUCUGCGUCGCUAGUGGCUAGUGCUACUCGUCAACUCCGGCUGCCAUCGACGGUCAUUGUCUCACAAACAUGUACUCCCUCCGUCGCUAGUGGUUUUGAGUUUUUUUAGUUUGUAACGUUUGAUCACUCGUCUUAUUUAAUUUGUUUUGAAAUUAUUAUUUAGUUUAUUUGUGACUUACUUUAUUAUCUACAAUACUUUAAGCAUAACUUUUCGUUUUUAUAUUUGCAAAAAUAAUUUGAAUAAGACGAGUGAUCAAACGUUACAAACAAAAACUCAAAAUCCCUUAUAUUGUGGGGACAAAGGGAGUAGUACGAAUAAGAGCAAGUAUAAUGGUGAGUUAUAAGUCUACUAUAAACUUAGAUGGAGGAGAGAAGUAGUGAAAAAUCAAGAGUGUUAGCUCUCAUGAAAGAGCUAACUUAUGAGAGAGGAGAAGAAAAUUAUAGCUAACCUUAUAGCUAAUCUAUUAUAUAUGUUGACUUUAAGAUUAGCUAAUAGUAAGAAGUGAGCUAUAUUAUUAUCUUUGCUAUAAGAGUAUCCACUCAACUAACUAGAUGGGCACGCAUUAGUGCUCUUUGUCCGUGCACGUCACGGCACUAUUGCGGUAGUAGUACUCGCAAAGGGCAGUGGCUACCAAUAGUCGUUCGUUGGGAUGGAGGGAGCCGGGGGCUGGUCGAGCGUGGCAACGGGAAACAGGGGACGACCCUGCAAACGAGAGCGCAUCGUUCGUGCGGUCGUGGAUGUUGUUGUGUUGUGCUGUGCGCCCGUUUGGUCGACAGGCACGGGCGCAUUAAACUCCCAUGCUUAAUUCCCCGGGCCCCACCAGACAGGCAGAUCAGAUCCGACGUGUACGACGGGCGGUCAAAGCCCAGUACGGACGGACCCGGUCACCCACCCGGUGCCGGAGCCCCCGGUGGUGUCGCGGCUGUGGCCUGUGACACCUGUGACACUUCACUGACUCUGAGCGCCCGCAGGACGGUGGGCCCCACCGACCCGCGAGGGUGGGGUCACGUCACGGGGCAGCGCUGCGAUCGAGGGGCUCCGGAUCGACGGACCGGAUUAAACUGGAUCGGGGUCGUCACAAUGGCAGGUGGGGCCCGCGGUGCAGCGCGACGUCACGGGGCGGGUGGGGCCGAGGGGCGUCGUGGGGAUAUCCGGAACCGGACGGAUCAGCGGUCGGGCUGGCGUGGCAAUAUGUGUGGUCCAGCCUGUGCAGUUGGGGGCGGGGGAAGGGAAGAUCUUCUGUAAGCAUCAGCGGUGGCAGUACAGUGGAUGGCAGCUGGAGGUCAGGAUGGGAAUGGUUAAUAUGGAUCGAACUUAAACCAUUUGAAAUGUGUUUAUUGUACCAUGGUUUAAAAGUUUCAAUCUAUCAUGGGUCUAUUAUAUCAAUAGGUUAUCUAUGUAUAUCCAAAUGGAUCAUCUAUCCUCCUAAUAGAUAAAAAAAAGCUCUUAUUGCAUAUAUGUAAAAGUCGGACCUAAAAUUUUUAAACUCGUGUUUACAUAGUAAAACCUUAUCAAAUUUAGUUAAAUUUAUAGAGAUGAUUUAUUAUAUGGAGAAGCAACUUUGUUCAAAUUUUAAGUUAUUUAGACAUGCGGAGCCCACUAUGCAUUACUAAGAUUCAAAGAAAUUCUAGCUACACGUGUGUAAAACUCGGACCCAAAAUUUUUAAACUCGCGUUUACACUAUAAAAAUUUGUCAAAUUUAGUUGAAUUUUAUAUGAAUGAUUUAUUAUAUAGAGAAGCAACUUUGUACAAAUUUUUAAAAUAUUUAUACAUGUGAAGUCAUUUUGGGUCAAACCUCUUAAACCUUAGGUUCUAAGGGCAAGGCCAAUGCUUAUGGUUCCAUCAGCCAUAUAUGUGGGACCCGCUAUAAGUAAGCAUUAGCUAUGUCCAUAUCCACAAUGGCUGUGCCUAUGGGAGAAAAUAAGCUGGGUCCCAAUGGGUCCCACCGAAGGAUAAAAAAAUCACUUCUUAUCCUCCUGUGAAACUCUUUGCACAAUGAAAAUUCCCCAAAAGUACUAGCGUGAACAGCACAUCACAAAAGUAUUGUAUUCUAUAGUUUUGUUACCACACCAUAAGGCUAAUGCUCAUUUUUUAUGUCAGAUUCUUAUGGUCCACUUUCACAAUGCUUAAUGUUAUUUAUUGCUUAAGGUUACUUUUAGCACACAUUGUGGUUGCCCUAAUGGUUUGAGCCGUUUGGUCCAUUUAUAUUUUUUUAGAGCGACCCUAAAAUCCGUUAGGACAAAUUUAUGAAUAGAUUUAGUGAAUAAAUGGAUCGACCCUACCCAUUCCCAUCCUGAGCUGGAGGGUGACGGAGCUGUGUAGUAGGGAUAGCAGCGGCCGUCGGGGCCAACCAGACUCAUGAUCGAGUUGCUUGGCGUCGGGGGAGAAACUCUGAAAGAGCAAAUAGGACACAGAUCUUUUUUUUUUAUAUUGACUGUUUGAUACGUGGGCUCUAUAUCCAGUGAGUUUAUAUGGCAGUGAUCCACAUUAGAGGAUAGUAUUGCACAGAAGACUUAUAUGAAGUAAGGUGUGUUUUUUUUCGAGGUAGUAAAGUGUUUUUGGUUGACAAGGAUAGCUCCGGUAUUCGAAAUUAUAGAAAUUAUAUUGUUCUAUGUUGAAAUUCUAAAUGUAGAAAUGGGAUUGUCUUACAUUUGAACUAAUAAAUAAAUGUACAGAAAAGUAGUAAUACUGAUAUGGCUUUGUCUCGAAUUUUGAAAGGUCUGGCAGCUUCAAAAUAUUACUAGCAUUAUACUAAUAAAUUACAAACAAAAUCUAGGCAGUAUACAGCAAAAGAUGUCUAUUAUGGAUAUACCUCGAGUAGCUAUCCUACCCUAGUACAAAGAAAGUUUAGGUCAUCAUCGGUUACUCAUAAAAAUUAAUCUGUAGUUAACAAAUAUAUGUGUGUUUUCUCAACAAUUUAAAAUGACAAUGCUGAAAAAGUAACUACAUUGAAAUUGUCUUAAAAUCAACUUUAAUUUUAAAGUUUUAAAAUUUAAAUUUUGGAUUUGCUUUGACUUAUUGAGGCAACCAAUGAAGCUCUUAAUUUCUUGAAACGUGCAAAUAUAUGUCAAAGGUAAGCGCAUAUGAUAAAGUGCUCGGAAAGCUAUGGUGUAGAGCUUUCCAAAAUUAUCGUUAGACAUACACAAGGAUACUGAAAAACUUGUGGCGUUGUUUUACAGAUUUAUCUUAACACGGAAAAUAAAUACAAAAUGAAAUUUAGGUACAUGAAGUUUGUGUUCAACAAGAAAAGAUGAACAUUCAUAUGUAGCAAUGGUUGUACGGUAUGUCCGUAACAUGAAUACUGUUUUCUAGUCUUGAAUAUUGUUUUCUACCCACAUCAAUAAUGAAACCAAUUCGAACAGCUUGCGGCAACUUAAUAAAUAUACAAAUAUUGCACUGAUCUAUGUUAAAAAAAAGUUAGCCGCAAAAUCUUAUAAAGCUUGUAUCAAAAUAUGAAACCCAAGGAUCCAACUUCAAAAACAAAAAAAAGAAGAGUAAAUUACACUGGUAGUUCUUAAACUUGUAACGAAGUUUUACUUAGGUCUAUAAACUUGCAAAACGCAUAUCGAGAUCCCUAAACUUGAUUUAAUGUAUCAUCCGGAUCCAAAGCCUCGUUUGACCGUGUCUUACCUACGUGGAGGAUAACAUGGAAUUUUUACUUUUUUUCUCCUUUCUUAUCCCUUUUUUUCUCCUUUCUUAUCCCUUUUUUUUUCUCCACUUUGCCUCUUUCCUCUCCCUUAUGCCGCAUUUUUCUCCACGCGAGGUGAGGAAGGAGAGAAAAGAUGGGAAGAAAAAAAGGGAAAAAGAAAAAUUAGCCAAGUCAUCGUCCACGUGGCAUAACACAUAGGCAAGAUUACGGUCAAACCAGUCUUUAGACCAGGAUGAUACAUUAAACCAAGUUUAAAGAUCUCAAUACGUGCUUUGUAAGUUCGUGGACAUAAUUGAAAAUUCGUUACAAGUUUAAGAACCGCUAGUAUAAUUUACUCAGAAAGAAAAGAAAGUAAACUAUCCAAUAUCCACAAAAGAUCCCCACACCUGAUCACACCCAGUUUAAGCGCCCACACGGCCACACUCCCCUGCCGUUCAUCACUCCCUCCCCAUUUUACCGUUGAGGUCGGCGACCUCCGCGGACGGUACGGCGGGACACUAGCCCGUCCCGAGGGGCAAUCCCGUAAUUUUCGCGCAGUACAGUGCCUCCCAGCGCAGUGGCUUCGCCCCACGCCCUACUGUUUUAAAUCCCCCUGCCGCUCUCCUCCGCCGUCUUCUUCCCCCCCUUCCUCUCCACCACCCCCGAUUCGUCGUCCACCACCGUUCGACGAGUUUCUCGCAGAUCGGGCGGGGGCGCGCCGGGAUGGCGUACAUGUGCGCGGACAGCGGCAACCUCAUGGCCAUCGCGCAGCAGGUGAUCCAGCAGCAGCAGCAGCAGCAACAGCAGCAGCAGAGGCACCACCACCACCACCAUCUGCCGCCGCCGCCGCCGCCGCAGUCGAUGGCGCCGCACCACCACCAGCAGAAGCACCACCACCACCACCAGCAGAUGCCGGCGAUGCCGCAGGCGCCGCCCUCGUCGCACGGCCAGAUCCCGGGCCAGCUCGCGUACGGUGGCGGCGCGGCGUGGCCCGCCGGGGAGCACUUCUUCGCGGACGCGUUCGGGGCGUCCGCCGGCGACGCGGUGUUCUCCGACCUCGCGGCGGCCGCGGACUUCGACUCUGAUGGGUGGAUGGAGAGCCUUAUUGGGGACGCCCCCUUCCAGGACUCCGACCUGGAACGCCUCAUCUUCACCACCCCGCCGCCGCCCGUGCCGUCCCCACCCCCCACGCAUGCCGCCGCCACCGCCACCGCCACCGCCGCCACCGCCGCUCCUCGACCUGAGGCUGCACCGGCUUUGCUCCCCCAGCCUGCUGCUGCGACCCCGGUGGCGUGUUCGUCUCCGAGUCCGAGUUCCGCGGACGCCUCCUGCUCCGCUCCCAUCCUCCAGUCCCUCCUGUCCUGCUCCCGCGCGGCGGCGACCGACCCUGGCCUCGCCGCCGCGGAGCUCGCCAGCGUCCGCGCCGCCGCGACUGACGCCGGGGACCCAUCUGAGCGCUUGGCCUUCUACUUCGCUGACGCGCUUAGUCGCCGCCUUGCGUGCGGCACCGGAGCUCCGCCCUCCGCGGAGCCGGACGCGCGGUUCGCCUCCGACGAGCUCACGCUCUGCUACAAGACGCUCAACGACGCCUGCCCCUACUCCAAGUUCGCGCACCUCACCGCCAACCAGGCCAUCCUGGAGGCCACAGGCGCGGCGACCAAGAUCCACAUAGUUGACUUCGGGAUCGUGCAGGGCAUCCAGUGGGCGGCGCUGCUUCAGGCGCUCGCCACCCGGCCCGAGGGGAAGCCAACGCGGAUACGGAUCACCGGCGUCCCCUCGCCGCUCCUGGGGCCGCAGCCCGCGGCGUCCCUCGCCGCCACCAAUACCCGUCUCCGUGACUUCGCCAAGCUCCUCGGGGUGGACUUCGAGUUCGUCCCAUUGCUCCGGCCUGUGCACGAGCUCAACAAGUCGGAUUUCUUGGUUGAACCUGACGAGGCCGUGGCCGUCAAUUUCAUGCUGCAGCUGUACCACCUUCUUGGCGACUCGGACGAGCUAGUGAGAAGAGUGCUUCGUCUUGCCAAAUCGCUCAGUCCAGCAGUGGUCACACUUGGAGAGUACGAGGUCAGCCUGAACCGAGCUGGGUUCGUCGACCGGUUCGCCAAUGCGUUGAGCUAUUACCGGUCAUUGUUCGAGUCGCUGGAUGUGGCAAUGACCCGGGACUCACCGGAGAGGGUGAGGGUGGAGCGUUGGAUGUUCGGGGAGCGAAUUCAGAGGGCCGUCGGGCCGGAGGAAGGCGCAGACCGGACGGAGAGGAUGGCCGGCAGCAGCGAGUGGCAGACCCUGAUGGAGUGGUGCGGCUUCGAGCCCGUGCCGCUCAGCAACUAUGCCAGGAGCCAGGCUGAUCUUUUGCUCUGGAACUAUGAUUCCAAGUACAAGUAUUCACUUGUUGAGUUGCCACCGGCGUUCUUGUCCUUGGCAUGGGAGAAACGGCCAUUGCUUACUGUGUCUGCUUGGAGGUGAGGGUAGUUUUUUUGGGAGUAUUUGGGGGAAUGUGUGGCGUUGUGAUAGAACCUGGGAGGAAAUAGUUAGGAGAAAUCAUUUUGCAGCUUUUGUUGUAGUUUCCUCCAAAACUGUGUUUAGGAUGAUUGGUAUAAUUGGGAAAUUUUAGCUGAAUUAUCUUGCUCGGUGUUUGUGCUGCUGAAUGUGUGCAUGAUAUUAACUGGUUAGAGAAAAAUUAGUAGUAGUUGUACAGAAUUUGGUAACAGGUUUUAGCUGUGGUAUAUUGCUUGCUCAUGUUACCAGGAUGAGAAAUAUAAAUCUGGAUGCAAUUGUGCAUUUUAAGUAACAGAAUCCAACCACAAGCAAUAUUUAAGUAAUUUUCAGCUCCUGAUAUGAUACUUUUUUGAACAUCUUGUAUAUUCAUAAUCCAACAUUUCAGUCCAUUUAUUUCUUUUGAAAGCAUCUGAUUGUAUCAAAGUGAUCUCUGUAGUUAUGCAUGUACUCCUGGUUUGUCCCUUCAGUAAUGAAGUGUUGUCUGGAACUGGAAAGACCUCUUCGACUAUUCUUAUGAUUUGAAAGUAACCUUAAAUUGUGUUUUUGUAUUUCAUCUGUAUUCAGUUUACCGAUUUUCUUCACAUCUGACAUGUUAUUUUCUUGGUAACCACAUUUUUUAAAGCUCAUGUUGUGGACUGCCGAUGUCUUGCAAUGCUUUAUAAACUCAGCAUUUUAACUUGAUCUAGAAGGCAGCAUCCUCUCUUUUGGCACUUGCCCUUUUCUUCCGGAGCUAAAAUUGCUGUACUUAUCAUCUGACUUUUGUGCAUCUGAACUUGAAAACACUGUCCUAAGUAUUCUUUGCAGAAGAUAUAUAGCAGCUGUAAUUUUCAGGCAGCAUACCUUUCUUGGAUUGAUUUGCCUCAUUUUCCUUUGUUGGAAGCCAUGCCACAUGAGUCGUGACUAACUACCAGAAAUUCAGAAUCAAGAGCAAACGGAAGUUUGCCUGCCCCAAAUUUCCUGUUCCCCACAACACACAAACCUGGAAUUCUAAAUCUACCCCUUGUCUGUAAAUUGUAAUAGCCUGAAAUUCACACUAUUUUGCAGAGUGAGCAUGUCUCUCUUUUAUGAAAAGUUCCCUUUGAAUGAUAUCAACCGUUCUUCCAACCGUUCGUGCUAUGAUCCUGUCGAGGUAUUUCUGUCAGGUUUAACUUCGCUGCAAUCUUAAAGCUUGGAAAGCUUUUUCUGAGUACAUUAGGCCAAACAGAGUACAGAGCACCAGUCAGGCCUGUUUUGGCAAGAUCAUGAACCUGACCACCAGAGAGCUUUUAAGUGUGAUCAGUGCUCGGAUACGCUCGACUCUCAGUUGCGUAAGUUCCCUGGAUCUCGUGGCCACUACUGGUUGUCGGGAGACGAAGGCCUCUGCUUCUCUCCCCACCAGGCACCAGGCCACCACCGGCACUGUCGCACUGAGCCAUUUUCUCUGUGAGAAGUGAAACGCUCAGAAGUGAAAUGGCUUUGUUUGAAAGAGCUUUUAGCCGCUGUAACUUCUUUUAAAAUCCGUAGCUCCUUCAACAGUUCAGAUUUUCAUCAAAAUUCUGAGAAUUGAUAGAUGUAAAACAUAGAAAUAAACUGAAUGUCAAAAGGUAGAAAGCAUAACUUUUCAGAUUUUCAUUCAGCUUCUUAUCAGCAUCUUGAACUACCCAUAGGUGCCAUUUCCACUAGCUGGCCCCAACCGUGCAGUGAUGAUUGUUUCAUUGACUAGUUUGAACAUUUGUUGCUCCAGCCACUGAUCUGGCCGUGUGUUCCUGUUACUUCAUGCAGUCGCUCAAUAAUGCGUUUAUGCCCAUGCUAGUCUGAUAGUAGCAGUUUCCUAGUGCUAGUGGCUCCCAUGAUUACGUCGUAAUCUAUCACUCUCCCUCUUGCUUUGACAAGUGAAAUCUCUUGACAGACUCCAUCCGUCCCCUAAUAUAAAGAAUUUUAACAUUUUGCUUGACCACUUAUCUUAUUAAAAAAUUUAAGCAAAUAUAAAAAACAAAAAGUUAUGCUUAAAAUACUUUGGAUAAUAAAGUAAGUCAAAAAAAUAAUUCUAAUUUUUUAAUAAGACGAAUGAUUAAACAGUACAAGCAAAAUCCCUUAUAUUAGAGGAUGGAGGGAGUAUUAAGGACUCUUUUGACAUAUUUGAUGUUUAGUCCGACGGUGUGCCGUUUACCAUUACCGCAUGUUAGCAGGGAUUCAGAUUGGAUGACAUGGGGUGAAUCUUGGCCCUCCGAAACAAAUCCAACGGCUGAGAUUCGUCCACGUCAUCAUGAGUAAAAGUUUUACUCCUAGUUAAAUUUUUACUCCUGAGUAAAUCUGCGAGUAAAAUGUUUACUCGUGAUGACGUGGAUGAAUGUCAGCCGUUGGAUUUAUUUCAUAGGGCUGAGAUUCACCCUAUGUCACCUUGUGACAUGCCUACCCUAUGUCACCCAAUCCCAAUCCACCUUAGCGGUAAGCACAGUUACUAUGGUAACUGGGUUUACUGUUAGGGUAGGGGAAUGUUAAUCGCAAAGUAACCCUUCCAAAUUUUGAAAGAUAAUUUAAUUUCUUGAUAAAACUUGUCUAUAUUUUUCACGGUUUGUUGUGGUUAUCACAGUUAUGAACUAUUAACUGUGCUUAUUGUCAAUGUCUGGCAAUCUAGCCAUAGCCAUACGGUUCAAAUCAACCGUACGGCUAUGGCUAGAUUUCGUGGAAACUGUUGAUAAAACUGAUAAAAACAGAUGAUAUCCGAACAAAUCUUGUUAUAAAAAAUAAAAUUCAAUUUGUUUUUUGAUUGACUAGAGAAACCGAGUUGUUUGUAUUUUCAACCCGGUUUUUUGUAAACCCAACCAGUGCCUCGUCCAUUGUGAGAAGAAAACACUAACGGUGUGACAGUGAGUGUUUAUAUCAUUAUAUAUGCUGAUUAUAUGGAGAAAAUUGAUAUUUAGCCAUUCUCGGGUUAGGGUUUCGCCAAAAUGCCAUCGCCGAAUGUGGCUUCGUUAUAAUGCCAUCUUCAAACGACUCCAUCUUGCCACACUACCAAUCUACCAUUUCAACCGAUUUUGAUUAUUUGCAAAUGUUUUCCACUGUUUUGCUUAUUUGGUUUGACCCAAAUGCCCUUACCUCAGCCAUGGGGCCCACUUGCCAGGAGCGUCUUCCACCUCUGCCCACCACCAUCCUUCUCUCUCUGGUGAACUCAUGCAACAGUGUUCUCUCUUGACCUCCCUCCUCGGUUGUUCUCGCCCCAAAUUGAAUGCAAAAAUCGGUUCCUCUUGUCCUCAUCAAUUCCCCCAACAAAUCCCACUCAAAUCAGCGUAACUCCGUGGUGUAUUUUGAAGUCCGACUUGAAUAGCAAGCUCCACCAUGACCGGCGUCGAUCUCUCUCCCCGGCGAGGUUGGAGAGCCUGCUCAAGCGGCUGGACGCUGCGGGUGGAGCAGGUCGCUGCCCACAUCGAGGAGCUCAUCAGAGAAGGGGGUGACGCCGUGGCGCGCGGUCCGGUCGAGCACUUGGUGCGCCGUGCCGCCGAGCCGAACCGUCAUCUCCGUCUGCACCGCUGCCUUCCCGUCCCCAGCCAUGCCGCCGCGUCGCCUUCCCUGUUCCCGGUCGCUGUCGCCACCGCCGACAACCUGCGGGUGAACCUGGUGAGCUAUGUUGUCGAGCUGGUGAAUGCGGCGAAGGGCAAGGUGAACAUGGAGUACAUGCGGUUGGUGGUCGACCUCAUGGUGAAGCGCGGUCGGCCGAAACUUCACGAUGGUUCGACGUGGUGAAGGCCAGGUUCGGUGACCUCAACUUCGGGUGGGGGAAGGCGGCGUAUGGCGGGCUGGCGAAGGGCGGGGUCGGCGCCAUUUCCGGUGUGGCCAGCUUCCUCAUCCUGUAGCGGUUCGGCAACGGUCCCGAGCUGCGCCGACGCCGCCCACCAUCUGCAACGAAGAGAGGAAUAGGUACAGAGAGAUGCAAUGGGAACCAAGGGUAUUUUGGUCAUCUUAGCAAGAAAAAAAUCAUUAAACUGAGAAGAGAUGGAUGAAAUAACAUUGCAACAUGUUGCGUCUGUUUGAGGAUGGUAUUUUAGCGAAGCCACAUUCGGUGAUGGCAUUCUGGCGAAACCCCAACCCGAUGAUGGUAAAAUGUCAAUUUUCUCGAAUAUAUGGGCCGUCAAGGAAGACCUCGAAUCCACGGCCCAUGACACGAUGGGCCCUCUCAGGUGGGUGGCAAUCUGUUCCAUCUUCUCCGGCUCUCCAGUGUGCUCUCAACGGGAAACAGGACACAGGCCUUUCUUUGGGAAACAGGAAAAAAAAUGCUAGAACCAGCUGCAAUAUCGCUUAACAAGGUAUAUUGGUGGAUCCAUUUCAUCCCACUUUAUGACCAUGCAAAUUGUUUAAGACAUUUUCUAAUUUACAAUAAUUGUUGGGCGAUCUGCCAUUUAUAGAUCGUCUUAAAUCAUUACAUGGAAAAUGGAACACCUACUUUCGCAGCUUCGCUUCAACAGAUCAAUGCAGCCAGGGCGUCAUUUUGUUUACCGAUGGACAAGGUGACAUGGGUUAAUCCUACGGGUAGAGGUGACAAACGGUGAAAUCUUACACGUGGGAGAAGGAGCCACCAUAUAAAAUAACAAGGACAGUCAAAUGAAACUGGUAAAAAAUAUACACUACUAUAUUAUAUAUAAGGGCAGUAGCAAUGCAAAGCUACGUCAAUGAGAAACCUCAUAUUGCCAAAUAGGAUGAAGCAAUUCAGAACCACACUUUCCAUGGUGCAAGCAGCUUGCUGUGUGACCUAAGAGUAGAUAUUUGCAUUUCAGUCCCUAUUACCUUUAAAUUUACAGUAGUACAAAAUUUUACACUCAACACCCUAAAAUCUACAUAAUAAUAUAUAAUCUCUCCCCAGUCCCCACCUACCGCCGAUUUCUCUCCUCUCCCCACCUACCGCCAUCUGUCCUCACACUCACCGGCGCCGGCGCACCGGGUGGGGAAGCCUAGAAGGGCGGCGGUCGAGGAGCUCCUUGGGCGGCACGGCGACGAGCUCCCUGGCGGCACCGGUCGCUGCCUCUCUGUCAACCCGUCGACGACGCCACCUCCGCUCGAGAUCCGCCACUGGGGCGAUGGCCGGCGGCGUAGAGAUCCACGAGCGGUCGUGGCAGGCGACGGUUGCGGUCAUCGACGGGCUGACGGGAGGGAGGCGCGGUCGUGGCGGGCGGCGGUGGCGGUCGUCGACGGGCUGAUGGGAGGGAGGUCGGCGACGGCGGCAGUGGCGCGGUCGUGGUGGGCCCCGGACGACGGCCACGCUUGGCGCCAUGGCUCUUUGUUCCUAUAGCGAGAUGCGAAAAACCAAUCAGAGCUAUGAGGUCUACUUGCUUUUUCCUCCACGUAGACGAGGUAACGCGCCAUAUACUUGCAUUGUGAAAGACCUAAGGUACCAAUCAGGAGGCUUAUGUACAAGAGUGAAAUUCAUUUGAAGCAAUCAAGAGGCUUCCAAACCUUCAUCAAUUUUUUUAUUUCUUCUAAAAAAAGAGGCUUCCAAUAUUUGGUUAGUUAAUCGACUGAUCAAACCAAGAAGAAAAUAACAAAUGAAGCCUCAACCUUAAGUUCGUACUGGAUUGAGUAACCUCUACAACUAUCUCAUCAAUGAAGUAGUUUCCGGCAAAAUUAAUGUGAGGUCGUUUCUUGCCCUGGACAGUGCACAUACUGAUGAUACGUUAUAGAUAUAUUGACUGGAUAUCUUUAUCUUUACCUACUAUAAGGAAGGCCCUACACGUCGGGCGCCCGAUGCUUCGGGGGAAAAAUCGGGCGCUGACGUCAGCGUUCGAUUUUACGUGCAAAAUUACUUUAAACUGAUUUAUCUCUUAAAUUACUUAUCCAAAUCAUGAUCCAAUUGCACCAUUAAAUUCGUUGCAAUUAAAUCUUCAAAACAAGACCACACAUGGAUAUAUUUUGACGAAAUUUUUUUUAGCUUAUUAUUGAAUUAUUUUUAAACAUUGCACGAUGUUCCACCAGAUAUAUCGGAAUUGUUUCACUAAGUAGAUCGAAAAUGUUUCACUCAUUUAAAUCGGGUGUUAUUUCACCUUAUAUAAAAACAAUGUUUCAGCAAAUAGCGAAAGAAUGUUUCAGUUCACUACACAUUAGAUCUAUACAUAGUGAAACAUUAUGACUACACUAGAUGAAACAUUUUUCGGUGGAACAAAAAAUAAACCAAAUUCCAUUAAUAGGGGGUUUCCAAAAUAUGUGGGUUUUUUUUGCAAUGGAAUGUUUCGUUCAGUGCAACAUUAGAUCUAUACAUAGUGAAACAUUGUGAGUACACUAUGUGAAACAUUUUGGGUGGAACAAAAAAUAAACCAAAUUCCCUUAAUAGAGAGUUUCCAAAAUAUGUGGGUUUUUUUUUUUACAAAAAAGUAUUUUAAUUCACAGCAACAUUAGAUCUAUAAAUAAUGAAACAUUGUAAAUAUACUAGGUGAAACAUCUUUUAUAGAAAAAAGAGGAGCAGAAAUAGGUGGGCCCAAGUAGUCACGUGGAGGGAGGGGGCGCGGGGGGAGUGCCCGAUCCAGCUCCCCCCGCGCCGGGCGACCAGCAAGGAGCAUUUCUAUACCUAAUUAAAAAAUAAGUAAGGCUUCCGGUUGAUUUUUUUGUCCGUCAUUAAAGAGUGGGCCCAUGUGAUUAUUUCGCGGCUAAUCUGUGAAUCCGGAUGCAUUACGGCGAUCUCUGACGCUCCGAAAAAAAAAAGAGAAACGAAAAAAAGAAAAACCUAGCGAGCAGCCCAGCCAAGACGGCAGCAGGCCGGCCCAACAUAAAGCAAACGCGGCCCAGCAGCCAGCCCACAGAACAGAGAAGCAGCAGCCCAGUACAGCAUAGUUAUGUGUGAUACUAUCUAUAUCUAUAACUAAUAUAAAUAUUCGUAUUUUGUUUUCGUCACAUCUAAUUUUCGUCCGUACACAAUCCGAUUUGGUUAGCAAUAGCCAUGGAAAAAAUUGCAAAAAAAAAAAAAUCCGCCGCACCCUGUCAUCGCUACACCGUGCCGGCGAGACAAGAAGGAGAGAGGGAGAGGGAGCGCGGACGUCGUCGACGCCGCCGUUGGGAGGGCGCCGUCUCCGCCGCACCCCGCCGUCACCGCGCUGUGCCGGCGAGAAGGGAGAGAGAAGAGAAGGGAAGCGGUGCUGGUGGGGGGAGAGACGACGCCGGUGGCAGGGGAGGCGGCCGGCUGGGGGGAGGGGGAGAGGCGGGAGAGGGGGAGAGGGAGCGGCGCCGCCGGAGGGGAGGGGAGGGGAAGCGGUGCCGGUGGGGAGAUGGGGAGGGGGAGAGGCGGUGUCGGGACGGGGGAGAGGGAGGCGGCCGGCUUGGCUCGGCUGGGGGGGAGGGAGGGGGAGGGGGAUGGUUAGGGUUAGGGUUCUCAUCAAUUUCAAACUGAUCUGAACCGUCCAUCAAAACGAACGGCUGAGAUCGAUCGAGGGUUUGGGCCGCACCACUUGGGCUGCACCACUUGGGACGCACACGGGCCGGCGGUCCACCAAGUGAGAGGAGGAGUAUGGGGGCAUUAAGUAGACUUUGGUCGCUUGCGGGCUGAAGAAGAAAAUGGGCUGAAAAAGGCUCAUAGAGAAAAAAUAAUUUUUAUUUAAAUAAAUGCUGAAAUGAUAUUUGUAUUAUCAAAAUUAGCAAUUAAGCUAUGUAAAUUCCAAGAAAAUUUCAAUGAAUGUAAUUAAUAUAGAAAAUUUAAUCCAAUCAUAACAUUUUAUUUCUCACACUUACUCUACUUAUAAAUUAAUUUAAUUAUAUACCUACUACUUAAAAAAUACCUAAAUAUGUCAGAAAUUUUGUAUUUCAUUUAAUUAGAAUUUAAUAUGUUUUAAUUCAAUUUUAUCUUUUUUCUUUUCGUUGCAACGCACGAACACUUUUGCUAUAAUUUCAAAGAGUGUAAUUAAUAUUGCAGAAAAUUUAUAUGUCAUUAAAUUAUAAUUCAUUUUCUUCAUAAAAAUAGUUCAAAUCAAAGUUCAGUCACCAUAUUAUUAUCCGGUGCAACGCACGGAUAUUUUGUUAGUCCGUAUAAAGAUUGAAGAUGUUUUUGCUGUAGCUUUUGGUACGUCAUCCGAAUUAAUCUCCGUGUCGAGUUGUUUUUCGCGUUAAUCACCGUUUCCGAUUUCGCAUUGGAUCACAACGCGUGAUGCGGAGGGGUGAAGAUCGCAUCAGACGUGCUUGUCUAACCGAAACGGGCUUGUGCAACAUCUGGUCCUGCCGGUUUGAUGCAGAGCCGGCCAGCCCAUUAACAGCCUAACCACGGCUUUCUCUGUGUAGGUCCUGUUUGGUCAGUCAAACAAAUCUAUAUACCUACCGGUAUUUUUUUGUCCAUUGUUUUUUUCCGUAUGCAUUUUUUUCGCACGGUCCAGCUUUUUUUCCGUCCGACCGGUUUUUUUUCGCACGUGCACGCGGUUUUUUCGCAGGGCCCAGUUUUUAUUCUGUCCGAUUGGUUUCUUUGGGCCCGGUUUUUUCCGGUCCGAAUGGUUUUUUCACGUGGUUUUGUUUUGCCAGGUUUUUCCCCAUCCAAUUUUUUUCCUUUUUUUCCAUCCUAUAUUUUUUCCGAUAAGUUUUUUUGGUGUGCACGGGAUUGAAUCCCAAAUCUAUAUAUAUACCAAAUUUCUACUAUUAUAAAAAUUAAAAAUGUUUCGCCGAUACUUUGGUAUGUCGUCCGUAUUUGAGUCACCUUGCAUGCUAAUUUGGGACAAAAGUCGGACUCCUAAUUAAUUUACAAUUCUCGCCAGACCAUAAGAAACUUUUGCAAAUACAUAAGGAGUCGUAUAAGAAAUCAUUUUAAAAACCUAACAUGCUAACUUGGGACAAAAGUCGGAAUCCUAAUUGAUUUAUAAUUUUCGUCAGACCAUAAGAAAGCAACGUACAAUAUAUGAUCAAUACUAUCAAAAUAAAAAUCCAUAUACUUUUAAGAAAUAAAGUCUAACAAUAAUACGAUUAAAAUAGCCUUCACCCGUUGCAACGCACGGGUAUUUUUUCUAUAUUAUAAAAAUUAAAUAUGUUUUUACCGGUAUUUUGGUAUGUCAUCCGUAUUUGAGUCAGUUUUUAAGUUUGUUCGCUUUUGAAAAAAUAUAGAUCCGUGUUAAAGUCAGAUUUUAAGUUCGUUUGUUUUUAAAAAUAUAAAAGAAGUCGUACAAGAAAUUUCUUUAAAAGAACUUGCAUGCUAACUUGAGAUUAAAGUCAGACUCCUAACUGCAACUCAUGAUUUUCUAAAAAAUAAAUCCAAGCGAAUUCCUAAAUGUCAUCCUAUCUAAACCGUAUAACAAUAAUAAUAUUAAAAUAGCAUUCACCCGUUGUAACGCACGGGUAUUUUUUUAGUCAAGUUUAAAAAUAUAUCUUUGUAUAUAUGUGUAUAGGACACCACCACCUAAGGCUUCUUAUAGGUAGGUCUAUACCUAUAAGACUAUAAGGUAUAAGAGAGUAUAUAAAUAUUUUUACUUUCGCAUGUACUGGAGCACACAAUUACCAAACGUUUGGGCCCGAGAGCACUUAAUUUCACUAGAAACACAAAAGCCCACGUAAAACAUCACAUGGCAAAGUAUGGCACAUGCUGUCCAUGCGAAGCUCCCGUUCCACCUCGUUUAGUCCCACCUCGGAAAACUAGCUUCAGACAGCGCAGCUUAAAUAGCAAGAGCGUCCCACCACCUCCAGCCGAGCUCAGCAGCGCGAGCUUGUAACCCGAGCGGGGGCAUUAAGGUGGUGUGGACGUUGCCGUAUGGCUGCGGGCCUGGGUUGGCAGUGCCAUAGAUGGCCCGCCCGUUCCAAGUUGCGUAGUUGGGCCGGCGGGGCUUGAGCGAAAGCUCUGGCCUCACGUUUCCCUAGAGUGGCAGGCAUUGCGUGAGGCUGGCUUCACAGAGCAGCGAAUACUGUCCGCUUCCAACGGUGGAAGGAUAACGGGCCGCCGCACUGCUGGCCCGCUUGGGUCUCGCAGCCUACUCCAACGGACCACCACUUUUUUUAUUAUUAUUUUCCCAUCUUGUUUGCCUGAAUUUACCUCUAACUGACUUGCUGCCACGCAUGUAGGCCGUCUUUACGGAUCAUGAACACGGGUAUUCUUGAGCGGUAAAAAUCCAACUUGUAUGUAUUUGUACACUUCAUUAUCUAAAAAAGAAUGUAUUUGUACACUUUGUUGUAAACAAUUCGAUGGAACAAAAAAAAACUAAAGCUGGUGAAUUUGUCGUUGAAUCAAGUCCUUUUUAGUUUUUUUUUAGUUUUGCUGAUUGAAGUUCUCUGUUAGGCAUAAUUGGAGCUUAUGUUGUUUUUAGAUUUAAUAUAUUUCAAUUGUUGCACAGACUGGGAUCGCAGGGAAACAUAAUUAUUUAUGCUAAUAUAGUAAACUGGGUUAACAGCAAACUGAAAGCAGCGGGAAGAAGAUCUCAAAUGGAAAGCUUCAAUGUGUUCUUCCUGUAGCCUCCAGUCUCAAUCAUUUAAAUACUACUCCCUCCGUUUCACAAUGUAAGUCAUUUUAGCAUUUCACACAUUCAUAUAGAUAUUAAUGAAUCUAGACAUAUAUAUCUAUCUAGAUUCAUUAACAUCAAUCUAUCUAGAUUCAUUAACAUCAAUAUAAAUGUGAAAAAUGUUAGAAUGACUUACAUUGUGAAACGGAGGGAGUAAUUACAAAUUUAUACUCAUUCUUCUUUCUUGAUGGAAAUGCCAAGUGUAAUACAGGCAGAGCAGCAGUAGUUCAUGGAGCAGGAGGCGUCAGCUUAUUGCCCAUUUUUCUCUUGUUGCUGCUUGCCGUCGACACGCUGAAGCUGUUGGUGUUGUCGUUUGACUUUUUUUAACAGAAAGAAUUUUAUUUAAAAUGAAAUUAUACCCGGCCUCUACAUACAUCCUAGGACUCACACAAGCGAAAAAAAGAAGAAUAUCCUGAGACAAACAUUAAUGUAUCAUGUCAUCAGAUCUUCUAGUCUCUGUUGCCAAAUGUUGAAGAAAUCAGACAAAAAAGGAGAGGCAUCAUUGCUGAAAAGGGGAUCAGCUUGCCUACUGAUGUCAAAAGAAACCGUGCCAUCAGCUCAUCAUCCAGCUUAUGUUGUUCACCAGAUCUCUUAUAAUUCUUGUCACCAGAUCCUUAGACCGGCGAGGAGAAGAACAUCAUAGUUUCUGAAGUCCUGCACUGGUGCUGCGCCACAAGGGACACAAGCAAACCUUGGUGGAUUGCAGAAAAGGUGUGAUUUAGCGAUCAGUUCCGUAGUUAGCUCUCAUAGGAUAAAAAGUGAUAGUAAUUAGUAGGCAAAAUUGGUUAUAUAGCAUCGAAAGUUCACGUUUUUGGUUUUAUAGCACCAAAAGUUACCGGUUCACUUUAAUAGCAUCCAAAGUUCACCCUGUUACCAUUUUUAGCACUUCCGUCAAUUUUUCUAUCCGUCUUGAUCGUUAUUGAUCCAGUCACACACAUGAUAUGACAUUUCUACCUCUCAUUGACAUGCAUUAUACUUGUACUUGUGAGGGGUAGAAACGUCAUAUCGUGUGUGUGGCUGGAUCAAGACGGACGGAAUCCUCCGUUUCACAAUGUAAGUCAUUCUAGCAUUUCCCACAUUCAUAUUGAUGUUGAUGAAUCUAAAUAUAUAUAUAUAUCUAUCUAAAUUCAUUAAAAUCAAUAUGAAUGUGGGAAAUGCUAGAAUGGCUUACAUUGUGAAACGGAGGGAGUACAUAUUUCAAACAUAGAGAAGAUGCAUUGCUACUAUUAUAAGUGCUUAAGAAACAAUGGUCAGUAAAUAUUCAGACUGAAGUUCUCUAAGUUUCAGAUAUGACAUACAUUACUUAGUAAGCUUCUCUUUUCGCAAAUUUUCUGUCGGAUUGCCCGAGUAAAAUUUUCUUUUCUUUUAUAUUUUUCCAAUGACAAGUAGUACUCGUACUUAGUGAGGUUAGAAGUAGACUACUCUUAUGUUCUUACGAUGAAAAGAACUUUUAAGGUAUAAUUUAGUGAUUGUAUAUACAACAUAUUGUGUCUAAAAAGUUCUCAAUAAUCAAACCGUUAAGAAUCGGAAGUACCUCCAAUCAGGGGGCAAGUUCAUCGUGGAACUUCAUGGUUGGUUUAGGGGAGGCCACCGCCGAGAGCCAGAGAUAAAAGAUGGUGUCACCAGUACUCCCUUCACUCCAAAAUAAAUUAAUCUGAUACAAAAUAAAACAUCAUUGAAUAUAAUGAAUUUGAACAAUUAUUCUAUUAUCUAAAAGAAAUGAAUUUGGACAAUGUUUAGUGGGCGCAAGAAAUCUGAAAAAUUGGCUUAUACUAUAAUUAGCUCGGACCAAAUAUCGUGAGCUUUUCUUUUCCUUUUUUUUUAUAGUUUACUCAUUCUCUAUUGAAUAAAGUUGGUAGCUUGCGCAUUAAAAAAUUUAGACAAUGUUUCGUCUUACGGACUAAGGCUAUAUUCUUCUCCCAUCUUUUCCAACUCACCUCUUUCAUGUUCCUUGCACACACUCUUGAAACUGCUAAACGGUACGUUUUUUUCAAAAGGUUUCUACACGAAAGUCAUAUUAAUAUAAAAAAAUCAUAUUAAUCUUUUUUUAAAAUAAUAAUAAUAAAAACUUAAUUAAUCAUAAGAAAAUGCGUCGCUCUAUUUUGCGUACGCGGGAUGUGAGUUCCCAACCUCACCUCCUAAACACAUUCUAAAUUUGUUUCUCCUCUUCCCCCUCUCGUGCUGGGAUGGAUAGAAUAGUCAUUAAUGAAGGUUGAAACUAAGUUUUCUAGUUUUUCCUUUUUGUGUUUGUGUAUAUUGUUCUGUGUGAGGCUCGGAGUCUAAAAACUCGCGCAUGUUUUUGGCAGUAUAUCCUUUGACAUAUAGAGACCGAAUUAAUGAAAAAUUCACUAUUAAAAGUUUUUAGAUUAGUUUAUUUUAGGAUAGGAGUGGAUCUAUAGUUAGCGUCAGCUUUAGGCGACCCGACGACUUCCGACAAAAACUAUGAUUAUACUUAUUCAUAUAUUAUAAUGAUAUAGUCUAAGUAUAAUUAGCAUGUCAUGGUAUCGAUAGAUCUAUUAUAAUACCAAUGAAUUAAUUUCUAUAUCCAUCAUUGUUUUAGGAGAUAGAGGAGAACUGAUAUGACCGUGGCAGAGAGGAAUGGAGCUGGGUUGAUGUGGAUAUCUCCGUGAUCGCUACACCAACACCUCCAGGUUCCGUACUACCGUCCAUGUGCCAAAUUGUGGCGCAAAACCGUACCACUCGGCCACUCCGGCUGUUUCCCGAACAAAAAAUUGUGGCCUAGCCUAGCGUCACCCUCACCGUCCUAGAAAAGCCUUGCGAGCGAGAGAGCGACACGACCCCGCCCGGCCGCCCCUACUCUCCUCCCCGCCUCACCGCGCUGCAGCACGCGCGCGUGGACGUGUCACCCCGCUCCGCUGCACGUGGCCAUAGCCCUCGCUGGCCACGCGCCCCCCGAGCCUUCCAGGCGCGCCGCUCUGCGUACGUGUCCCCUCCUGGUAGAGAACGGCAUCACGGCGCGCCGCGAAUUAUAAGCCGAGCACGAGCACGAGCACGAGCUCCCCUCUCAACGCCAGGGCAAAUGUUACAUCGCGCCUCGCGUCUUUACCCCUCAUGUACUCGCUUCGUUUAGCUAGCAGCGGCAGCACGGGACUCGGCUUCGCGCUCGGCCGGCUCGGCGGGAGGAGUGGCGGCGGCGGCGGCGGUGGUGGUUUAGCGCCCGCGUCGGCGUCGUCGUCGUCGGUGGUAUCCGCUCGCACGAGGAGGACCGUCUCCGUGACGCCCAACGCCGCGGCGCCGACUCCGGGCGAGCAGGGCGUCGCGAUGGAGCAGGGCAAGCAGCAGCACCAGCCACCACCUCCGUCGCAGCCGCAGCCGCAGCAGGAGAAGCGCGGCUCCCGCGACGACGACAUGCACAAGACCACAGGGUACGUACGCACGAGUACACUACGGUUUUGGCGUGAGCGGCUGCGUGCGCCGGAUUUAACCGUGGCGUCUGCGUGUUCGCGUGUGUGCAGGGACGUGAUGACCCACUCUUUCGGGGAGGGAUACUCGACGCGGUCGGACGAGGAAGGGUUCGGUGGCGUGUACGGACAGAACGACCCGGUGUUCAACCCUGGGACCGAGGUGCACCCCAGCCACCCUGGUACGUGCACUGCUGCUAGAUAAAAUUAACGAAUUUGCUAUAUAUUUAUCGAUAAAUUUCCUCAAAAAAUUUGUCAAGAUGCAAUUACAGUACAAUCGUAGUGUAAUUACACUGUAACUUGCAUGUAAUUACACUGUAACUAUAAUGUACAACUUGUAUGUAACUUUCAACAAUCUCUCGGUAAUAUGUUAUUUCAGUAAAAUAGAGGUCAUGGAAACAAAUCCUUUUAUAUAUGUGUGUGCUAUGAUUUUUUUUCUUCCUCACCAGAACAAAUCUUGUAAUAGAUCUAACGAUUCAAAAUUACGUGAAACUUAAAUACAAGUUACAGUGUAAUUACAUACAAGUUACAAUGUAAUUACACUACGAUUGUACUAUAAUUAUAUCUGUCAAAUUUUUAGUAGAAAAUUUGUCGACAAAUGUAUAGGUAGUCCCUAAAAUUAAUUUGACACAUCCUUAAAUAUCCGUCUUGAAAAUAGGUACAUUAAUAAACAUAUCCACUACGAAUCUUGAAUCUGGAAGGAUGUCUAAUGAAGGAUGUCUAAUUUUGUUUCGAGUAAUUUUAUAAUCUUGAGAAGGUACUGUAACGUAUCAAAAAUUAAAAUUUAGUGUAAAAUUUGAUCUCUUUAUAAUUUUACAAUAGAAAAGUGAUACCUCCUUGAGGACUAAAAUUGCCUUUUGUUUUGGUUUAUACCGAGUAGUUGGGAACAGUGGUUACAGGAGGGACGUGAACUUAAUUAUUAAUCUGAAAAUUUGGAUUUUGAUCUCUGUUUUGAUUAAUAACUGGGGUUGCUUUGGUUGUACUGCGAUGUGUGCAGAGUACGACACGUCGCAGGGGUCGGAGGUGAAGGAGAAGGAGAAGGCGCGCCACCAUAAGGACGACAAGCACGCGACCUAAGCCUAGCAGUUGGGGGCUGGAUUAGGUCCUAAUCGUAGUUUAGUCGGGCAUGACGGGGAUCACCCCCAUCAUCACCUGUGCAUCCACGUUGCCCUAUCUUUGAUGGGCACUAGUUGUAUCUUUUGCUUCUGAACUGUUUUGAUGCAUUUGUUUUAUUCCUUAGAUGUGAUGUAAAAUCUCUACAGUACUUAAUUAGCUAUGUACUGGUACUGUGAGUUCUCCAGCGCUUGUGUCUCCUGGUGUGUGUGAUCAUGUAAUGAUGAGUCGAUUCAUAUAUAUACUCCCUCCUCCUCCGUCAUCCCUUCUAUAGGAUUUUCAAAAAACAUCCCUUCUAUAGGAUUUGUAUAAUAAAUCUGUAAUAAAAGAGAUUUUAGGUGGCUUGGAUAUAUUCUGAUUUUAGGUGGAUUGGAUAUAUUCUAGUAUAAUUAAUUUAGGCAGAUAGUUUUUAAAUUUAUUGUAUUUUUAAAUUUAUUGUAUUGGGACGUGUUACGUUCAUAAAAAUCCCUUAUAAGAUCGAAACGGACAUACCAGAUGAGCUACGGCAGAUUCACAAAAAUCCCUUAUAAUUUAGGCUUAAGUGCGCUCCAUGUGAGGCCGCCGCUCUAAUUCGACCGACGACUCUUUAGGGCUCGAAGCUUCUGUAUCGUGAGCCUUUUGGGAAGGGACUCAAGGAGUGAUGGGCUACUCGCUAUAUUCUUCUCGAAAUACUACAUCCAUACUAAAAUGUAAUAAUUUUUAGCUAAACGUAUAACUUUUAGUUAUAAAUCUGAACACAUAAUUAUCUAGAUUCAUAGCUAAAAAUACAUAUUCAUAGCUAAAAUAAUUAAAUGUCCUAAAUGUAACAACUUUUAGCUAUGAAACUUUUAGCUAUGAAUCUGAACUUAGCUAUGAAUCUGAACGUGAACUUAGCUUUUUAGCUAUGAAUCUGAACUUAGCUAUGAAUCUGAACGUGAACUUAGCUAUGAAUCUGAACGUAAAGUUGUUUAUAUUCAUAGCUAAAAAUACUUAAAUUUUAGAUUUUAGGACGGGGGAGUAAGUCGUUAAUGGGCCUCUAUGACACCUAAGAAGCAUUUUCUUCUCGAAAUAAGUGGUGUUUGGAUAAGGGACUAAACUUCAGUACCUUACUCUGGCAAUCCAUGUUUAUGUACCGAGAGAAAAAA
RNAcentral lists this long non-coding RNA (48363 nucleotides) under Oryza sativa (Asian cultivated rice). Its description in RNAcentral is "long non-coding RNA (OSAT_LNC000630)". The stretch from base 41898 to 42203 matches the Rfam family "Plant signal recognition particle RNA". Lineage: Eukaryota; Viridiplantae; Streptophyta; Magnoliopsida; Poales; Poaceae. The record is from RNAcentral.